UCGGUGGACUUCUCCUUGGCGGCGUCGGCAGUCUCGGUGGCCGUCUUCUUCACGGCCUCCGUCUUCUCGCCGAGAAAGCUGGCCGUCUGGUCUUUGCCCUCGACGGCGCGAUCCUGACCGGCUUGCACCGUCUCGGACACCUUCCCCAUGGCCUCGCCGCCCAUCUUUUUGGCCGCCUCGGUGGUCUCGGAGGCAGCCUUCGUGACAGCCUCGCUUUUCUCGCCAAGGAAGCUGCCGGUCUGGUCUUUUGCCUCGACGGCACGGUCCUGGAUGGACUGCCCCGUCUCGGACGCCAUCUUCGUGGCCUCGCCGGCCUUAACUUGGGUCGUCUCCACCACCUCCCCCGACUUCUCUUGUAACCAGCUAGACAUUUUCUAAGUCGAUGAAGUGUUGGUGCCUAAUAAUUUGUGUUCUUCUUUUCUUGCGCUUGUUGUGGAGAGACGUGUGUUCUUCCUUUAUAUAGGCCAUUUGCCCCCUUUGCCGAGGUUGAUAUUGAGGAGAAUAUUACAUUGCUUUCGAAGUAUCUUGGGCUUAUAUGAGAUAUUUUGUUGCCAUGGUAUAUGUCAUUGUCGCCACUUGUCCAUUCAGGAUUCAGCUGUAUAUAUAUGCACAAUGGUAUGUCGACACAACACAGUUGCUUAAGAUCUGUCCAUUGAUAUGUGCUUUUAAAGACAUUUUUCUGGAGUAACAAAUGUGGUUGAAAAAAUGUAUCGCGACCAAGACGAAAAGACUGCUCAAAAAAUGACCAAGACGAAAAGAAAAACGAAAGAAAUUAAUGUUAAUUUGCUAAUUAAUAGCAUUGCAUGUAAUGAAUUAACUACUGCAUGUCGUCUUAGUUGGUCUUAAGUCAUUAAAAACAUAUACGUCCCACGUCUCUUAUUGGUUGAUUCCUUUAUUCAUGUCAAAAAACAAGAAAUAAGAUGAAAGUUAAUGCCUAGCGCCUAAGUGUUUUGGGAUUAUAUGAUUUUCGUAAAAUGACUUGUACACGAAGACGAAGGGAAUACCAUGUUUUACUCAUUUAUCGUCAGACCUUGAGUUUAACACUUUGUAUUUAUAAAUACGAGAAUGCAAACAACCAAACAAAUAAAAUUCACACCACACAUACAAAAUGACUCAUACAUGAAAAUAAUAUGAAACCUGUUGAAAUUGGUAGUGGGCUUUAGGCCCAUUAGAGAAUUUUAGAAAAAUCUCCAAGGGCCCAUGUAGGUGGUGGCAUGACAAGGUGGUGUGAAGUUUAGUCCCACCCCGCUAGUGGAGGAGAAGUUGGACCCCUUUAUAAGGGUCUCUCUUCCACAUGCUAUUGGAGAGUGAGAAGAGAAGGUGCCCUCGCGCACUCCUCCUCCGCCGCCCACCUCGCCUCAUCGCGACGCGGGUUGCGGGAAUGAGCCGAGCCGAGCUCAUACCUACGCGCUUAUUUUUGCCGGUCAGGAACGGAGAAUACGUAACGGACACGACACGAUCCGAGACGUCGGACCGUGGGCUGUUACCGACUCGGACGUGGGUUCGGCCCACGUCUCUCCACCCAGCCGCGUUUAUAAGCAGGCUAUCGCCUACCCUAGCCGUCACGAGAAUCAGAUCGCAUCUGCCUCACGCGUUCGUUCCUUUUGCUGCUGCUGCCUCUGGCGACUCCGUCCCGUUUACCGCGUACACGGUCGACGGGAGAGCACGCCUCCGAAACCCCGCCUCUCCGGUUCCUGUACGGGAGAGGGGCGAUUUGGUUUUUGGGGAGCGAUCACGCGACUGCUCACCUCCGUCUGUCUGCUUCAUCUACGUUCGCGUCGCCCUCGUCAUCGCCAUGUCUUCACCAAGCGAAGCUGACCGUCUCGUCUGCGAGAAGGCCGAAGCCGAGAAGAAGGCGGCAGAGGAUGUUGCCGCUGCCACCGCUUCUGCUACGGCCAAUUGGACGAUCGGAGGGUAUGAUAUGUUUAUCUCUCUCCUAUUUUUGUCUGCACUAGUAGUACUGCCUGUAUGCGUAGAUGUUUUUACUAUAUGCGUAGUACUUGCUAGUAUACUCUGUGAUCAGUAUGUCAUGAACCUAGUCAAUGCCAUGUUAGUAAUUAUUUCAUGGAUUAAUCUACUCGGAAAAUUGCCUAUUUACUCAACAAUCCAAAAACCUAAUUUGUGUAGGAAUUUUUCGAGUAAUGGUUUUGCUGCUGCACUGAAACCGGAUAAGUUUACCGGUACUUUUUUCAAGCGUUGGCAAACGAGAACCACCUUAUGGCUCACGACUAUGAACGUGUUCUGGGUAGCCGGUGUCACUCCUACGGAAACUAUCACUCCUGAACAGGAGAAGAUGUUUAAGGAGGCCACCGUCCUAUUCCUUGGAGCAGUCAUUAGCGUGAUCGGAGAUAAGCUGGUUGAUGCAUAUUUACAUAUGCAUGUUGCCAAGGACUUGUGGGAGGCGCUCGAAUCUAAAUUCGGGGCCACCGAUGCUGGGAGUGAGAUGUAUGUUAUGGAGCAGUUCCAUGAUUACAAGAUGGUUGACAACCGUUCUGUAUUGGAACAGGCUCAUGAGAUAAUAUGCAUAGCUAAAGAACUUGAGGUUCUUAAGUGAAAUUUGCCGGGCAAGUUUGUCGCGGGAUGUAUAAUUGCUAAGCUCCCUAAUUCCUGGAGGAACUUUUCUACUACUCUGAAACAUCAGAGGCGUGAGUUCUCAGUAGAGGACAUCAUCGGCCAUCUGAGUGUUGAGCAGAACUCGAGAGCAAAGGACUCCAAUGGAAAAGCGGUGGAAAGCUCUUCUGCUGCCAAUAUGGUACAUCAGAGGAACUUCAAUUCCCACAAGCCCAAGGGAAAGAAUUCUGUCCAACAGAAUACCGACUUCAAGAAGAAGGGAAAGAAGACCUUCAAGAAGAAUAAGAAGGGAGAUGGCUGCUAUACUUGUGGAUCAGAGGAACAUUGGGCGAACAAAUGCCCAAACAAGUACAAGAAGGCGGCGCAGGACUCCAAGUCUGCCAAUAUGAUUGUGGGCAACAAUGAAAGUGGUGCACCUGGGUACGGUAAUUUACUUACUGUAUUUAUAGUUUGUCAGUCCACCGAUUGGUGGGUGGACACGGGUGCAAAUAUUCAUGUGUGUGCUGACUUAUCAUUGUUCUCUUCUUAUCAUGCCAUCGGUCGCGGGUCCGUAUUGAUGGGGAAUGGCGCGAGUGCUUCUGUUCUUGGUGUUGGCACGAUCGAUCUGAAGUUUACUUCGGGAAGGAUCGUGCAGCUGAAGAACGUGCAGCAUGUCCCCGCCAUCAAGAAGAAUCUCGUUAGUGGCUCCCUUCUGUGUAGAGAAGGGUUUAAGUUGGUAUUCGAGUCUAAUAAAUUAGUAGUUACGAAAUAUGGACUUUUCGUUGGAAAAGGUUAUGAAUGCGGAGGUCUGUUCCGCCUUUCUCUUGCAGAUUUUUGUAAUAAAGUCGUGAACAAUAUUCAUUCGAGUGUUAAUGAAUCUGAAGUUUGGCAUUCGCGUCUUUGUCACAUAAGUUUCGGUGUUAUGUCGCGGCUAGCAAAACUGAAUUUAAUCCCAACUUUCACUUUAGCCAAAAGUUCUAAGUGUCAUUCAUGUGUGCAAGCAAAGCAACCUCGCAAGCCUCACAAGGCUGCAGAGGAGAGACACUUGGCACCAUUAGAACUCAUACAUUCUGAUCUUUGUGAGAUGAAUGGUGUGUUGACUAAAGGUGGAAAGAAAUAUUUCAUGACAUUGAUAGAUGAUUCCACUAGAUAUUGCUAUGUGUAUCUGUUAAAUACUAAAGAUGAGGCUCUACACUACUUUAAAAUCUAUAAGGCAGAAGUUGAGAAUCAACUUGAAAAGAAAAUUAAAUGAGUCCGGUCUGAUCGUGGUGGAGAGUACUUCUCAAAGGAAUUUGAUUCAUUUUGUGCGUAACACGACAUUAUUCAUGAGAGGACGCCUCCCUAUUCACCCUAAUCAAAUGGGGUUGCCGAGCGGAAAAACCGUACUCUAACUGAUUUGGUUAACGCCAUGUUAGAUACAUCGGGUUUAUCCAAGGCAUGGUGGGGGGAGGCUAUAUUGACCGUGUGUCAUGUCCUGAAUAAAGUUCCUACAAAAGAUAAUGAGGUCACUCCCUACGAGGAGUGGUCGAAGAGAAGGACGACGCUCUCGUACUUACGUACUUUGGGCUUCUUGGCGAAAGUCAAUGUACCGAUCCCCAAGAAGCGUAAGCUUGGACCAAAGACUGUGGACUGCGUUAAUUUGGGAUACGCUAAGAAUAGCGUAGGCUAUAGAUUUCUAGUAGUGAAAUCUGAGGUACCUGACGUGAAGGUCGGUACAAUAAUGGAGUCAAGGGAUGCUACAUUCGUUGAGGAUAUAUUUCCCAUGAAAGAUAUGCAAAGCACUUCUAGACAGGAAUCUGAGAUAACUCCUGAGCCUGCCAUUCCUAUGGAAUACUAUGAACAAACACAUGAUGAAAAUCCUGAGGAGGAUGACGAGGAAGCCCGUGGUAGGGGCAAGAGACAAAGGACUGCAAAGACCUUUGGUGAUGAUUUCUUCGUAUGCCUCGUGGAUGAUAAUCCCACUUCUAUUUCAGAAGUGUAUGCUUCUCCAGAUGCUGAUUACUGGAAAGCUGCGGUCCGUAGCGAGAUGGAAUCCAUCAUGGCUAACGGGACAUGGGAAAUCACUGAUCGUACCUAUGGUUGCAAACCAUUGGGAUGCAAGUGGGUGUUCAAAAAGAAGCUUAGGCCCGAUGGUACGAUUGAAAAGUACAAGGCUAGGCUUGUGGCCAAGGGCUAUGCCCAGAAAGAAGAAGAAGAUUUCUUCGAUACUUAUUCACAUGUGGCUAGACUGACCACCAUUCGAGUACUACUCUCAUUGGCGGCCUCUCAUGGUCUUCUCGUUCAUCAAAUGGAUGUUAAGACGGCUUUCCUGAAUGGAGAGCUAAAUGAGGAAAUCUAUAUGCAACAGCCAGAUGGCUUUGUGAUAGAAGGUCAGGAAGGAAAGGUGUGUAAGUUACUGAAAUCUUUAUAUGGUCUGAGACAAGCACCUAAGCAAUGGCAUGAGAAGUUUAAUACAACUCUGACAUCUGUUGGCUUCGUUGUUAAUGAAGCUGACAAAUGUGUAUACUAUCGCCAUGGUGGGGGCGAAGGAGUUAUAUUGAGCUUGUAUGUUGAUGGCAUACUGAUAUUUGGAACCAACCUCAAAGUAAUUGAGGAGGUCAAGUCUUUUCUGUCUCAAAACUUUUAGAUGAAGGACCUUGGGGUGGCUGAUGUUAUCUUGAACAUCAAGCUGUUGAGAGAUGAUGAGGGUGCGAUUACACUUCUGCAGUCCCACUAUGUUGAGAAGAUUUUGAGUCGCUUUGGAUAUUCAGAUUGCAAAAUUUCUCAAACACCAUAUGAUCCUAGUGUGCUUAUUAGAAAGUCUAAAGGCACAACUAUAGAUCAAUUGAGAUUCUCUCAAAUUAUCGGUUCGCUUAUGUACCUAGCUAGCGCAACGAGGCCUGACAUCGCGUUUGCUGUGAGCGAACUUAGCCGGUUUGUUGCAAACCCGGGCGAUGUUCAUUGGCGUGGUGUUGAAGGAAUUAUGCGCUACUUGAAAGGUACUGUCAACCACGGGCUUCACUAUACGGGAUUCCCAUCGGUACUUGAAGGGUAUAGUGAUGCGAAUUGGAUCUCUGAUGCUGAUGAGAUGAAGGCCACCACUGGAUAUAUGUUUACUCUUGGGGGUGGUGCUGUUUCCUGGAAGUCUUGCAAGCAAACGAUCUUAACGAGAUCGACAAUGGAAGCAGAAUUAAUAGCAUUAGACACAUCUGGUGUCGAAGCAGAAUUUCUUCGAGAUCUUUUGAUGGACUUACGUGUGGUUGAGAAGCCGGUUCCGGCUAUCCUUAUGAACUGCGAUAAUCAGACGGUUAUUGUCAAAGUGAAGAGUUCAAAGGACAAUAUGAAGUCCAACAAACAUAUAAGAAUGAGAUUGAAGUCUGUCAGACGUUUGAGAAACUCUGGAGUGAUAGCGUUGGAUUACAUCCAAACGGCUAAGAAUCUGGCAGAUCCCUUUACUAAAGGGCUAUCACGUGUUGUGAUAGAUAGUGCAUCGAGGGAGAUGGGUAUGAGACCCACAUGAGUUGCCAUGGUAGUAAUUCAACCUAUAUGAUCGGAGAUCCCGUGAAGUAGGACCUGGGAAAACAAGCCAGUGGUGAACUAAGGAGAGUAACUUUACUAAACCACUCCGUUGGAGAUGCAAUACUCUCGAAUACUGUAUGGUAGGAUGAUUACUGUCUUAAUAUGUUCUAAGGCUUAUAUAUAAGCAAGAUGCUGUCCUACAGAGCGAUCUUUGGAGAAACACACCUAUAUGAGCUUGACUGCUGGUCACAGUCUAUGAGAUUUGGGUGAUCUCCAGUAAACUCAUGAAUAGGCCUGGAGUGUGACUAAUAUGCUCCACCCGAGGGGUCACCUUCGGCAGUCUAGUACUAGUAAGACUUGUGGUGAAGCUCCUUUACGCCAAACUGACAAUUCAAGGCAUAGUCCAUUGUUCAUUUGUAAAGGGGUGUAGCUACUUGCUCUAGGUGAAGCUCAACCUUAACAGGUCUUCACUGAAAUGUUGGUAUAUUAAAACAGUGAUUGGAACGAGGGAACACGAUGUGCCCUUGAGAUCUGGUGGGGGAUUGUUGAAAUUGGUAGUGGGCUUUAGGCCCAUUAGAGAAUUUUAGAAAAAGCUCCAAGGGCCCAUGUAGGUGGUGGCAUGACAAGGUGGUGGGAAGUUUAGUCCCACCCCGCUAGUGGAGGAGAAGUUGGACCCCUUUAUAAGGGUCUCUCUUCCACAUGCUAUUGGAGAGUGAGAAGAGAAGGUGCCCUCGCGCACUCCUCCUCCGCCGCUCGCCUCGCCACGCCUCAUCACGACGCGACGCGACGCGGGUUGCGGGAAUGAGCCGAGCCGAGCUCAUACCUACGCGCUUAUUUUUGCCGGCCAGGAACGGAGAAUACGUAACGGACACGGACGUCGGAUCGUGGGCUGUUACCGACUCGGACGUGGGUUCGGCCCACGUCUCUCCACCCAGCCGCGUUUAUAAGCAGGCUAUCGCCUACCGUAGCCGUCACGAGAAUCAAAUCGCAUCUGCCUCACGCGUUCGUUCCUUUUGCUGCUGCUGCCUCCGGCGACUCCGUCCCGUUUACCGCGUACACGGUCGACGGGAGAGCAGGCCUCCGAAACCCCGCCUCUCCGGUUCCUGUACGGGAGAGGGGCGAUUAGGUUUUUGGGGAGCGAUCACGCGACUGCUCGCCUCCGUCCGUCUGCUUCGUCUACGUCCGCGUCGCCCUCGUCAUCGCCAUGUCUUCACCAAGCGAAGCUGGCCGUCUCGUCCGCGAGAAGGCCGAAGCCGAGAAGAAGGCGGCAGAGGAUGUUGCCGCCGCCACCGCUUCUGCUACGGCCAAUUGGCCGAUCGGAGGGUAUGAUAUGUUUAUCUCUCUCCUAUUUCUGUCUGCACUAGUAGUACUGCCUGUAUGCGUAGAUGUUUCUGCUAUAUGCGUAGUACUUGCUAGUAUACUCCGUGAUCAGUAUGUCAUGAACCUAGUCAAUGCCAUGUUAGUAAUUAUUUCAUGGAUUAAUCUACUCGAAAAAUUGCCUAUUUACUCAACAAAACCUAUGUAUGAGGCGCUCAGAUCCAAAGUCAAACCGUUCCCAACACGCGGUGCCUUGCCCAUGGGGGUGCACCAACAGAGUGACGUGGUAGAUACGUGUGACCUCGCAGUGUGCCUUUUGCCGACGUUGCUCCGGCCUGGUGUUUCUCGACUUGUGUCUUCGAGUGUUCAUGGUUUUUCCGGCAUCCUCUACCGAUGUGGUUUCGGCCCUAAUAACCCGGUAGUUGUGUUCCUUCCGUCUCCCUCUGCUCGUUGGUGUCUUGACGGUUAUGGCAUCGUCGGCUCGGAUCUGCGCCACUUCCAGUUCCUUGCUCAUUGCCAGCCAAAGCUGUUACAAUCGCGACUCAAGCUUUAGAAUUUUAUGACUUACGAUCCGAACUAAGCCCUCUUAUUCUAUGAUUUCUCUCAUAGAAUCUAAGUUUCUAUGAUCCUGGUAGUUAUGGUUCUACGAUUCACGAUCCUACCAAUGAAGCUCCGGUCUAAUUCAGAAUCUCGAUUCUGACAACUUUGUUGCCAGCUGUUGUCGCUUCCCCUGCAUCGUUUCUCUCUGCCUCAUUGCCUCCCCGAUCAUGUCCACCUCUACGCCUCGCCUUGUGCCUGAUGUAUUGCUCGCGGUCCGACAGUGCUCGGUGUCGUCCUUUGGCAACAAGUGCAGCCCCACACCCCUUUCCUGAUGUGGCGGUUUCGACCGACGGCGUGAGUUCCUCAUCUCUAAUUUCCGAACAGAUGGAUAUGGGAUUGCCAGGACUCAGGCAAGGGUGAAAUCUUUGUUUGGCUUGCCGAUGCUGUCAGCGGCGACAUUCGAGGGUACCGUUUUCUUCUUGAAGGCGCUGCCAUGGCCUUCAUCCAAGCCGAGCACAUGAGAAACAAUUGGUCAAGUUGAAGGUGCCAUCUUGUUCGCUCGUUGUAUCCCUGCGGUUAGCUUUGGUGAUGUUGGUUGUCGUGGCCGUUUCGGCCUUCCCCUCUGCUUGGAGGCUUGUUGGUUUAGCUGUGUCGUACCCUCCUUUCGGGUCGAGCAUCCCCUUUUCUCUCUGCUCAUUGCACCAUGUACAUGCCAUCUUGUGUUCGUGUAUUGUAUUGGACCCUCAACGAAAUAAUACGUAAGCUUUACGCAUCCACGAAAUAUAAGUGGCCACCGAUGUUGGAUCUGUGUCUAGCCAACUCUCCAUGUAUUGGAUCUACACAAAGACCAGUGAAAGAUCUAGAGGGUGGACAGGGUGGGCAGCCCAUCUUAAUUUUUUCCAAUAGCCUUUACAUUAUUGGUUUUGCUAGAACUCAUCUAGUUGAAUUUUUAUUAUGUCUCAUUCAUCCUUUAUAACCAUUGAAUGUGAUUAUAAGAUGCGUUUGUGCUGACGUGGGUUGUAGUACUAUUUUAUAUUUGUUUUUUUCUAGGUGAAUGCGACUAAAUUAUAUUCAUUUAGAUGAGAUCGAAACACUUCCUUACAUUAUAUAGUUUUAAAAGGAAAACCUAGUAGAUUUAUACGAGCAAUUACACCGUUGGCCAUCCUGGUCCAUUGGGCUGGAUUCCCCACUAACAAAUACCAAGCAUGAUGCAAUUUUUUCUCAAGAAAAGUAUGAUGCAAACACGUGAAUACGAAUAUAACACAGUGAAGAAUACAACUUUUGUGAAAGUGGCAUCGUUAUUCAUUCAUGCAUAGCUUUUCUGCUUUAGCACUUGGCAAAGGGCCACCGUCCCCACCACAAAUUUGAGCAAUUCACCUGGCAUCCGAACCAUGCAGCUAGGCGCUAGCUAGUGGUCGACAUGGAUCGCCGACGUCUCCCGGCACCACCGGUUCCGUGAAUCCUGCGCGUAGCACAGGACAAACGGGUGGAUGGCAUAUGCAUGGUCGACAUAGGGCGCCGACGUCUGUGACAUCGCUCUCGAUCGUCUCCCGGCACCACUCGUUCCCGUUGGCCGUUAUCGAUCGAGACACAUGGUGAGACAGGAACGGGCCACUUGGACGUGGCGUCGCAUACACUUCGCCGACGUGACUGCAGGCAGCUCGUUCUGUCCGAGGGGGUCCAAUUCCAAAUGGCCCAUGUUCAAAGGAAAACGUUUAACGGCUACACGCUGGCCGAAGAUCUUCGGCCAGCGCCUGCCUCAUGUCGCACUGGAUCCACACACGCAUCACAUCCACGCACAGCGAGUUACAUCUGGCCUUACAUAGGCCCGUGCAACCUUAUUCACCCUCUAGUGGCUUAGGCCCUGUUUGUUUCAGAAGUUUCGGGACAUUUUUUUUAGUCUUAACUUAAAAGUCCCUAGUCCCUAUCCGUUUAUUUUCAGGGAUUAAAUAGAGACUAGAGGUCAUUGAAUGACAUGUAAAAAGACCAUGUUACCCUUAGUAAUGUAGUAGUAGUUAUUAAAUGACAUGUUAAAAGUAGGGGCAUUGUUGGAAAAAGUGCCAAAAAGUCCCAAAAAGACCCUUCCAUAGGGACUUCUCCAAAUAGUCUCAAAUACCCCCUUUUAGUCCCUAAAAGUCCCUCCUGUUUGUUUCACACGAGACUUUUUGAGACUUUUUUUAGUCCCUACACCAAAAAGUCCGUGGAAACAAACACCCCCUUAGUCCCCAUCUCUCUCCUCCCGUCCACGCAUACUCUGAUGUUUUCAUGCUGCCCCACGGUCCCUCCUUUUAGAGUUACUUGCAAAAUACUACCACAAUUCGGGCCGUAUUUACAAGUUGGUGUCAUUUUGCAAUUUUUUUGCAAAUACGUAUCAAGAUACACACAGCUUCUUGCAAAACUUGCAUUUCUACGUAUAGAUGCUCUUUCUGACAGAUAUGGUCCACCGGUCAGUCUCUUACAAGAAAAAUCGGCCCGGACCGCUUCGAUCAGGGGAAAACCGACUCUUUCUCUCCAUCCAGACCGGACAGGCAAAAAAAAACCUUCGUCUCCUCCAGACCAUCUCCCCUGCUCCUCCACCCCGCCUCCCCCUCACCGCCACCACCGCCACACCCCGCCGGCCACUCCCUCCACCCCACCGCAACCACCAGCACCGCCCCUCCCUCCUGCGCCCCCGCCUCCUCACCGUCCGCGGCGUCGCCGGCGCUGCUUGACGGUUCUGGUCGCAUGUCGGACCGUCCGAUCCGCGUGCUGCGUGUGCCGGCGUCCCGCGCCACUGUGUGGCGCAGGCUCUCCUCGCCCGCGGUCACCAUGUCCCUGCGCACGUGCUCCAGGAGGCGCAGCGUGAACCGCUCCAAGUCGCCGUCGAACCGCGCGGAGAGGGAGUGGCCCGUCGAGUGCGCGUGUGAGAACGGCCGCCCCGACCGCGACCGCGAUCGCACCGCGCGCCGCAUGCUGUCGAUCCACUCCAGCUCCGCUGCUUCCCUCAUUCUCUCCUCCUGCUCCUCGCCGUCGCCCUCGCGGUUCAUGUCGAUGGACACCUCCGGCGCCCGCUGCUCCUCCCCGCCGGCGCCGUCCGCUUCGGCCGCCGCCGUGGCUGCUGGCUCCUCCGGGGCGAGGCUGCAGCGGCAGACGGGGCAGGUGACGUGGCCGACGAGCCACUCCCCGAUGUAGUCCGGGUGGAACGCGUGGCUGCACUUGGGGAGGAGGCGGAGCUGGUCCCCGUCCUCGAACUCGCUGAGGCAGACGACGCACUCGAGCACGGCCGUGCUGUCCUCGCCCUUGCCUCCCGCUUCCUUCUCAUGGAGCUCCCUCGCCUCGGCGUAGGUCAUGGCGGGGAAGGAGGCGACCACCUCCGGGUCGAGCCCACGCGGCCGGGCCUACUGUUGUUGCUCCUACCGCGACAGCACGAGGAAGGCCGCGGCCGGGAUGGUGGGGGAGUUCCCGCGGCCGCACUGGCAGAUGUAGAUGGAGAAGAAGCCGAUGAAGAAGAAGGUGGCGAUGAGCACCACGAGGAGCACCACCAUGGGCGCGCUGAAGCUGGGCGGCUUCCUCGCGCCGUACACGACCCCUCUCCCGCUGUCGCUCGUCCUGUCCCACUCGUCGUCGUCCGCCCGAGCGACUGCGCCGGUCGCGAGGAGGAGCUCCGCGAGCAGCACCGCAUGGCAUAUCUAUCGGCGGCGUCGGUAUCGACAUCGACGCGUUUCUCGGUGCCGCGGUAUAAAAACGAACGAGUGAAGGAAGGAAGGAAGGAAGGAAGCAGGCAGUGGAGCGACGCGUGCGUGGCUGGAUUACUUUGCGACCGGAACCGUCAAGCAGCGCCGGCGACGCCGCAGACGGUGAGGAGGCGGGGGGCGGGGGCGGAGGAGGGAGGGGGCGGUGCUGGUGGUUGCGGUGGGGUGGAGGGAGUGGCCGGCGGGGUGUGGCGGUGGUGGCAGUGAGGGGGAGGCAGGGUGAAGUAGCACGGGGGAUGGUGGUCUGGAGGAGACGAAGGUUUUUUUUGCCUGUCCGGCCUGGAUGGAGAGAAAGAGUCGGUUUUCCCUGGAUCGAAGCGGUCAGGGCCGGUUUUCUUGUAAGAAACUGACCGGUGGGCCAUAUCUGCCACAAAGAGCAUCUAUACGUAGAAAUACAAGUUUUGCAACAAGCUACGUGUAUCUUGGUACGUGUUUGCAAAAAAAUUGAAAGAUGAUAUCAACUUAUGAAUACGGUUCGAAUUAUGAUAGUCUUUUGCAAUUAACUCCUGCUUUUGCCGUUGUUUUCCCUCCAUUCAGGACGUCACAGAUGAGUAUGCCGGCAACUACACCUGGCACGAGCGGUGGAACCGGAGAAUGGCUAACCCAAAACCGUAACCUGAUGUACUACUAUCGGUUGGCAGGGACGAAGCCAUCAAUCUGGCAAGAUUUGAUGUCCGCCACACCUAAAAUUUGAUACAAAUAGCAGGGACGAAGCCAUCAAUCUGGCAAGAUUUGAUGUCCGCCACACCUAAAAUUUGAUACAAAUACACUAGCAUGCUCCUGUAGUACGUCUUUGAUUUUAGCUGAUCCAUGCGUCCAGCCGGCCAUCUCAACAUGUGGCUUUGAAUACACAGUAUAUAUGCCAGAAAUUGCUUUUCGAGCUCCGCCUUUAUGGAGACCACCAAAUUCAAAAUUAAACAUUUAUAAAAAUUUAUAUUUUUACGGCUGAAAAAAUUCUGAAAAAAAUUAUAGAUAUAUAUCAAGGCAUAAUGCACAAGUGUGUAAAUUUGCAGGUCAAAAUAUGUUGAAAUGAGGGUUGUGGAACAAAAAACAAAUCUGAGUGUUUUUAACGCAUGAUACUAUUCAUCAUUUUAGGUCUUGAAUUUGUUUUUUUGUACAGUUGGCAAUUCAAAGUAUUUCAUCGUGAAUUUUGACACAUCGUGUAUAUUACAUCCUUACAUACAUGCAUAUUUUUUCAGAAUUUUUUGAAACAAAAGAAUGAUUCUUUUCUUUCAAAAUUCAGUCUCCAUGGAGCUGGAGAUCCAAAAGGCCUUAAAGCAUCUCUGGCAGAUCCCACAUUUUCGCGGAAACUGUAUAAAUAACUGCCGUUUUGCCGUUUCGGACCGAAAAGGCUCGCGGAGCAGAUCCCACAAAAGUGAUCGGCCUACCAAAAAUUUUGAGGGGCGCGACAGUUUUCGUCGGCGAAACUGUGAAAACAAGGUUUUGCGACGAGACCCGGGGGUGCCCUGCAUUGCGCGGAAAUACUUGGCGGGAGGGACAUUUCAGCGCGCGGGUUGCUUCCCUCCCCUUUUCCCUUCCAGCCGCCACGACCGCCCUCGCCGUCGACGCCCUAGAUUCCGGCCGCCGAACACCUUCUGCCCACCUCCGCCGCCGCCGCACGUCAUCGCAGGCCCUGCGCGUCCGGGCUCCGACGGCGGCGCGGGGUCUUUGUCUCCGCCGCCCAAGAUCGAGGCCACCCCGACGAAAGGGCAUCCGCCACCGCGGCGCCGCCUGUCGGGACCGACCCCACCGCUUCGGCCUCUUGAUCUCAGGUGGGAUUUGCCUCCUUCUCCCCCUCCACCCCAACUGCUCCAUCGUGCACUCUCAUUUUCUUCUUUCGGGAGAUGGAAUUGAGCUCCGAUGAGGAAUUUGUGCUCGUCGAUUCUUCCUCCUCCGACGACUCGGAUGUGGAGAAUCUCCUGGCGAACCAUCGGCAGCAGAUGUUGGUGGUCAUGAUGGCCAUCAAGGAGUACGAGGAUCGACGGAGGAGUCAGCGGCGUGGAUCGAAGGUAGGCCUCCUAUGCAUCCCGCGCUAUCGCCACCUCGGCAACAAACUGCUGAUGCGAGACUACUUCGCCCAGCGGCCAACCUAUCCCGCCAACCUCUUCCGGCGAAGGUAACGAAUGCGUCGAUCCCUCUUUGUCAAAACAGUAGAGGCUUGCGAGUCAAAUUCUCGCUAUUUUACUCGCUGGAGGAACGCCGCUGGAUUAUUGGGAUUUAGUGCAUACCAAAAGAUAUCCGUAGCCAUGAGGGUCAUUGCAUACGAAAUCGCUGCGGACUUCGCCGAUGAGUAUCUUCGUAUUUGUGCACAUACUACAAUAGAGUCCGUGCGUAGGUUCGCGAAGGUUAUGAUCCAUGUGUUUGGUCCAACUUAUCUUCGAGCACCAAACGAAGAUGAUACAAAGAGGUUGAUGACGAUGAAUGAAAGGAGAGGCUGGCCGGGUAUGCUAGGUAGCAUAGAUUGCAUGCAUUGGACUUGGAAAAAUUGCCCGAAGGCUUGACACGGGCAAUAUUGUGGCAAAAGCCGAGAUGCAACAAUUGUGCUUGAGGUCUUAGCGUCCGAGGAUUUGUGGAUAUGGCAUUGCCACUUCGGUUUGCGGGGCACCAACAAUGAUAUCAAUGUGUUGCAACGGUCACACCUAUUUGGAAGGCUUGCUAGUGGUAAUGCUCCUCCUUGCAACUUCACUGUGAAUGGUAAUGCCUACACUCAAGGGUACUACCUUGCCGACGACAUUUAUCCUCCUUGGACUACUUUUAUGAAAACUAUAUCCAAUCCAAGCACUAGGAAACAAGCUGAAUUUGCUAAGCAACAAGAGGCGUGGAGAAAGGAUAUUGAGAGAGCCUUUGGGGUUUUGCAAUCUAGAUUUGCUAUUGUUCGUGGGCCAGCUCGUUUUUGGGAUAAGAAAACCCUCAGCAACAUCAUGCCAUGUUGUGUGAUUCUUCACAACACGAUCAUUGAAGAUGAGAGGGAUUUAAACUUGGAGUUCUUCUACGACAAAGUUGGUAGCUGUGUGAAGCCAUCCAGAAACCCUGACCGUAUUCAGGCUUUCCUGAAGCCCUACCGGCAUAUAGAAGACGCCCAUGGGCACACCCAGCUGCAGCAUUAAUCUCACUAAGCACAUAUGGCAGUUGCAUGGACAGUGGAGAUUUUUACGUUCAUCUAUUUGAUUGUUGUGUAAUCUGAACUAUUCUCUUAUUCCGGACAAUUGUUGUAUUGGAUUAUUUAUUUAAUUCUUUCAUUUGAACCAUUUUUGUAAGUUUGACAAUUGUUGUAAUGUACCGAAGGACAAAGGGANNNNNNNNNNNNNNNNNNNNNNNNNNNNNNNNNNNNNNNNNNNNNNNNNNNNNNNNNNNNNNNNNNNNNNNNNNNNNNNNNNNNNNNUGCGACGUUCCCCAACAGUGGCAUCAUGAGCUAGGUUCAUGCGUAGAUGUCUUCUCGAGUAGAACACAAAAGGUUUUGUGGGCGGUGAUGUGCGUUUUGCUGCCCUCCUUAGUCUUUUCUUGAUUCCGCGGCAUUGUUGGAUUGAAGCGGCUUGGACCGACAUUACUCGUACGCUUACGAGAGACUGGUUUCAUCGUUACGAGUAACUCCGUUGCUCAAAGAUGACUGGCAAGUGUCGGUUUCUCCAACUUUAGUUGAAUCGGAUUUGACCGAGGAGGUCCUUGGAUGAGGUUAAAUAGCAACUCAUAUAUCUCCGUUGUGGUGUUUGCGUAAGUAAGAUGCGAUCCUACUAGAUACCCAUGGUCACCACGUAAAACAUGCAACAACAAAAUUAGAGGACGUCUAACUUGUUUUUGCAGGGUAUGCUUGUGAUGUGAUAUGGCCAAUGAUGUGAUGUGAUAUAUUGGAUGUAUGAGAUGAUCAUCUUGUAAUAGAAAUAUCGACUUGCACGUCGAUGGUACGGCAACCGGCAGGAGCCAUAGGGUUGUCUUUAUACUAACGUGUGUGCUUGCACAUGCGUUUACUAUUUUGCUAGGAUGUAGCUUUAGUAGUAAUAGCAUGAGUAGCACGACAACCCCGAUGGCAACACGUUGAUGGAGAUCAUGGUGUGGCACCGGUGACAAGAAGAUCGUGCCGGUGCUUUGGUGAUGGAGAUCAAGAAGCACGUGAUGAUGGCCAUAUCAUGUCACUUAUGAAUUGCAUGUGAUGUUAAUCCUUUUAUGCACCUUAUUUUGCUUAGAACGACGGUAGCAUUAUGAGGUGAUCUCUCACUAAAAUUUCAAGACGAAAUUGUGUUCUCCCCGACUGUGCACCGUUGCUACAGUUCGUCAUUUCGAGACACCACGUGAUGAUCGGGUGUGAUAGACUCAACGUUCACAUACAACGGGUGCAAAACAGUUGCACACGCGGAACACUCGGGUUAAGCUUGAUGAGCCUAGCAUGUGCAGACAUGGCCUCGGAACACAUGAGACCGAAAGGUCGAUCAUGAAUCAUAUAGAUGAUAUGAUUAGCAUAGGGAUGCUUACCACUGAAACUAUACUCAACUCACGUGAUGAUCGGACUUGAAUAGCAGCCAUUGGCCUCCCCUUCAACAUGGAAGCCACUUGUUCAUUCGUGGCCAAAGAUGUCUGUAGUGAAAGUCGGACGAAGAGAGGGUAUUCUUCCAUGUCAUCAAUUAUUUUGAACAAAUUCUCAUUCGGGUUGGUCACGUGUGUGAAACGCAUGGUAUCUGACAUAUCACGCAGUGACCGCGUCAUGUCUUGAACCACACUCUCAUCACACUUCACCCUCUUACCUUUAUUGCGUUUGUCACCUCGAGGACGCUUUGAACAUGAGCUUUCAUUGUUGGUGUCAUCAGGAAGACAAUCUGAAUCAUAAUGGGUUGCAGGAUCAACCUCAACAUCACUAGCAUUCUUCUCGGUAUCACCAAUAAAAUCCUUGUGACGAGCCUGAACACGGUCAUAUGGUGUUUGAAGGACCAUGAACUCUCCAGUAGCAUGCUUAUCCUGAAAUAUGAACUCCAUCUCAUCAAAGUUGGCAAUUGGCACAUUGAUAUAUUUUGCCCUUUUGUCUUUAUUAUGGAAGAGAGAAGAAGAAUGAAAAUGUUAGUUAUUAGUCACGAAAGAAAAAACAUGAUACUCGAUGAAACUAUAAUUUGACUUAAUUGAUAUGUAGUCCUCACAUUCUUCAUACGAACAACUUCUGUCUCAUCAUAUAAUAUUAUCUUGUUGACAUCAUCAAAAUUGGCACCACUUAAGUUCUUCGCCUCUAGUACAAUCUUCCACUGACCUUUGAGCUUGUGGAACUUGUGAUAAACUUGUCGUUGUGUGAAGGCAGUGGUAAACCUUGCAUUGAUUUGUUUUGCACAUUCCUCAUGAUGUGUCUCUUUGAAAACAAAUUGUUUUCCCUCAGACUGAAUCUUCUCUUUGUAGUAACGUAACAUUUCAUCAACAACUUGGGGCUGCCACACCACAUUGUUUCCUGAUAUAUCCUGUGGUACCAUUUAAAUUUUAUAAUGCAUAGACAUAAUAACAUCACUGAGAUGCAUAUAACAUUGCAUUCGUACCUAGGGAAAGAUAUAACUUUGCAAAAAAUCAUGGUUACUAGUUAAAGGCAAAAAACACACACGUUGUUCUCGGUAGUGCUAAUACAACUUAGAAUAAAAAAAACUCAUACAUGUAGCUUGAAAAAAAUCAACCACGUCUAACAUUAUGCCUAUUUCUCCACAUAUUGGCUGCCAUGGUAUCCCUAUCUCGAAGCACUUCCCUUUGUUCCUCACGUAAAUCUCGUUGGACACGGCCAGCUGAUCUUGGAUAUUGUUCAAACCAGUUUUGCUCACUGUAGACUAGUUCAUCAGGACCCCCGUUUAGUAAUAUCCAGUUGUGAAGGAUACAACAUGCUAUGACAACUCGCACUUGUGAAGGAAAGGGAUAAUAUGGCCUUGUUGUUAGAACUUUGAAACGGUUCUUCAAAGUUCCGAAUGCCCUCUCAACAGUAGUACGAAGGGAUGAGUGUCUUAAAUUGAAUAGCUCAUUUUGUGUCCGAGGUCUAUUAUUACCCCUCCAUUCACGCAAAUGAUAUUGAGUUUGACGGAACGGCGGUAGGAAUCCUUUCCUAGCUGCAUAUCCCGCAUCCGCAAGAUAGUACUUACCUAACAUGACAUUAUCGACAAUUAAUCAAUCAUGCGCUCUGUAUGUUAUAUCAUAAUAUGUAAAAAUUGCAGGGGCCUACCUUCAGGGACUCUAAGGCCAUUUGGAUGCUCAAGAGAAUGUCUUAAAACGGUUGAAUCGUGUGCCGAACCCUCCCAGCCCGCACAAACAUAAGUGAACAACAAAUCAAAGUCGACCGCGGCAAGAACAUUUUGUGUAGGGAAUGGUUUCCUGCCGCGAAAUCUGUCAACUAUCCGAGAUGGAACGUUGCAUGGAACAUGUGUACCAUCAAUAGCACCAAUACAAUCCUAAAUAUCGAAUUAAAAAUUAAUUAGUAAUACACCUACUGCACUAUGAAGUUAUUUUAAAAUUUAUGGAUACCAAGAUGCACACUGUACUAUACCUUAAAAUAGGGAUCAAAUCGUAGGUUGCCUUGAAUUUUUGACGGUGUAUCGAGUGUGCGAUGCCUAAGCAUUUCUGGGCCAAGUUUCCCAAUUGCAAAUAAAACUUUGUUGAAGUAACGACUCACUGUUUCACCUGACCUUUUAAAAUGGAAACUAAUAGCGACAUUUUUCUUAUGAUGCCCUACAGUAGUGAGGAACAUGGCUACUUGUUCCUCAACAGUACAAUGCCAUGUAUCUUUAAGUUGUCUCAUACUCCGUAAUUUAUGACACAGUUUGAAGAAAACUGAUUUUCCCAUACGUAAUUCCGCAAUGCAGUGUUUCUCCUCGCCGCAGUAAAGUUUGCGUAGAUAUGCCAUUCUUUCUUUAUUUCUCUCUAACAAUGAGUAUCUUAUAGGAUGACUAGAGUUGCUUAGAUAUACGAUCAAUGCAUAAUAUGUCACCACAAAUGCACUGAAGAACGCUAUUUUUCUGUUAAUUUGCGCAUUGCCGUCCAUCUAUAAAUCAGUGAAAGAAAAAUAAAUAUUAAUGUCUUACACAACACGGCGCCAUCAGUAUAUACACAGUCAUAAGCAGACCUAAAUCCUAACAAAUCAAUUCAGAUCCAUGUAAAAUAGAUAGCUCCAUAUCCAUGUUUGAGUACGGACCAAAUCAAGAAAUCUGAUGCAGAUGUAUGUUCAUACAAGUCAACCACUAUCAUGCACUUCUAGUACGGUAGCACUUAAUUUCAGAUUGACUAGAAAUAAAAACUGGGUGUUAGGUGCGCACCAACAGCAGGAUUAUGCCCCAGCCCCAACACCACAACCUGCCAUUAGAGUGAGCUUGCUGUCACAUGGCCGCACUAAUCAUAUCCUAAAGACAGGUCAUCCAAGAAAAAUCCAACCAUGAAGACCAUGGGAAAUAUACAGAACUAAUUGGGAUCUGGAGCCUCUCGUACUAAUCAACCCUUGAGCCAGCCACUCUAGUCACAGGAGAAAGAUUCAUACACACAGGCAGGAAGAUUCAAGAGAUGUGGAGGGGGAUGCAUACCUGAUCAAGGAGGAUGAGGCGUCCGCUUUUAGAUCUGGAGCUCGUCUUCACCAAAUCAUGGAGGGGAACAGCCAACUCGCUCUAUUUAUCCGGUGGGAAAUACCAAGAUUUCAGGAUUUCGUUGGGGAUGAGGAGAAAACGGGGAGAGUGGAGGAGGUCCGAGUGGAGAGGAUAUAGGGAUUUGUUGCAGACGAGUUCAUCCAUCCGGAGCGUUCGGCGUCGGUUUGUUUCGCGCGUCCGAGUUUGCCGUCGAGGGCGAGUCAAAUCGGCUCUCCCUGUUGAGCGAGGAUUUUCUGACCCGUCAAGAUUAUCUGCCCCAAAAGCAAGGUAUUAUUUGGGCUACCAAACGGAUAGCCUAGCCUAGCAAGGCAAAAACGACUUUUGCCAAGUAACCAAACACACCCUAAGUGGCACCGUAGUGCGUACUGCGUAGUCGAUCAAUCUCGCGCGCAAACACACAAGGCCUAAGCCGCUGGUUGCUUGGCAGCGCAUCGGUCACCACGUCGGAUCGACGCUCGCACUGCUCGAAAAGGAAGCAGGUUGCACGGCGAGAACGCCGGCGGCGCACGCGACGUGUCCACAUCAGGUGCUGCAGAGCACGUAGUUGGUUAAAAAGUCCUAACACUUUUUUUUUAGUUUUAACUAGUAAAAAGUUCCUAGCAUCUGUUUAAUUUCACAGAGUAAAUAUGAAUCAACUGUUAUUAAAUUACAUGCAAAAAGGCCCUGUUACCCUAGUACUCUCUCCGUGUACGUAUACCUAGGUUGUCAAUUUAACUUAUAUAAAAUAUAUUAUUUAAUAUAAAAAUUAUAUCAUUAUUUUCUCCGUUCCUAAAUAUAAGUCUUCCUAAAGGUUUCACUAAUGGAUUACGAUGUAUGUAGAUAUACUUUAGAGUAUAGAUUCACUCAUUUUGCUCCGUAUGUAGACACCUAGUGAAAUAUAUUAAAAGACUUAUAUUUAGGUACGGAGGGAGUAAAAAAUAAAACAUCUAAAGUUUCUUAUGAUAUAUUUUUAUAAUAUAUGCCUCUCAUUAAAUUGGUCAAAUUGACGACCUAGAUACACGUACCGGACUUAUAAACUGAAACGAAAAAGUAAUAAACUAAAUAUUAUUAAAUAAUAUGUUAAAAGCUAAAAAAGUCUAAAAAGACUCUUUUUAGGUUUUAUUUUUUUAGUCCCAAAUGCCCACUCGUAAUCCCUAAUAUCCUUAUAUUUUGUUUAAAUAAAACUAAUAUUUUUAAUCCUUACACCAAAAAUUGCAUUUAAACAAACACCCUCGCAGUCCCGAGACCCAGGUCUGUCAGACUGUCACGGUCGAGCCAUGCGCCGGCAAAGGGCAAAAUGGACAAAUUUAACCUCUUUGCUGAAUGAAUUCACAGACUGAACCUAGUUCAAAACAAAUUCACCGAGUUGAUCCUUUUGUGUGACGUCCGACGUGUAGGCGCCACACUACAGUGUGUGACGCCUGAGCCUUGGACGUUGCUCAUGCUGUAGUGUGACGCCGAGCACUUAGGCGUCACACAUGCACUUAUGCAUUAUGCAGCCCGCGGCCGAAUCCAGACGGCCGGUCGGCCGGCGGUCAGUCGAAGCGGCGGCCGUGCCAUGCGGAGCUGAGCAGGACGCGGCCGAAGCUGGCGCCCUCCAUGCGCGUCGCCCUGCUCGCCCUCGCCACCUCGCCUACGGCCGCGCCCAUGCCUGCCUCGCCGUUCUCCGCCUCCUCCAUGCCCGCCAUGCACGCUACGGGAAGGAUCGACGGGUGCAGCAGCUCGCGGCGUCUGCUCGCAAGGACGCGCGAGCACCUGCCAUGGCCAUGCCGCACAUGCGCGCGCCGGAAGCGCCAGGCCGGGGGCCCGACUAUUUGGAUGGCAUCCCUGACGACCUCGUGCUGUCAAUCUUCUCCAAGCUUGCCGCGUCCGCGACCUCCCCGUCCGACCUACUCUCCGUCUACCUAACGUACGCCCCCGCGCGCCUCCGCGUUUGGUUCAACUGCUUGAACUCAUGCCGCUUUGUAUGAGUAUGUAUGGAUGGUUGGUUGGCUGAAUUUGUUUGUGUGUGCCUUUAACGUUUUAGGUGCAAGCGGCUCAACGGCCUUGGGCAGCAGGAUAUGGUGUUCGCCAAGGCCUCGCCGGCGUCGCUCGCGGCCUGGUCGGAGCCCGUGCAGCGGUUUCUGAAGCGCUGCGCCGACGCCGGCAACCUCGAGGCCUGCUACAUUCUCAGCAUGGUAAGAGUCGAUGACCAAAUCCAGUUGACUUGAUCGUUUAGCUUGACAUCCGUGCAUGCAUACAUGGUCGGAGUUUCAGGGAUGGAGUGCUGAUGAGCGCCAUGCGUUUUUGCAGAUCCGUUUCUAUUGCCUUGGCAGCCGGAGCGGCGGCGCGGCCCUGCUCGCGAAGGCGGCAGUCGGCGGGCACCCGGCCGCGCUCUACUCGCUUGCUGUAAUCCAGUUCAACGGGAGCGGGGGUGCCAAGUCUGACCGCGACCUGCGCGUCGGGGCUUCCCUGUGGCUGCUGGCGUCGGGCUUUGGGAGGUGGAAUGCAUGUGUGGCGUCUAAGUGCUCGGCGUCACACUGCAGCAUGUGUACGUCCGAGGCUUAGGCGUCACACAGCCAGGAUGGGCCCUGCAGCACCAGCGUGGCCUUUUUGUACAACGCCUAAGGCUUAGGCGUCACACAGUGUAGUAUGGCGCCUACGCGUCGGACGCCACACAAAAGGGUUAGCUCGGUGAAUUUUUUUUGAACUAGGUUCAGUCUGUGAAUUUAUUUAGCAUAGAGGUUAAAUUUGUCAAUUUUGCACCGGCAAAGGAACCUCUCUUUCAUUAAACCUCGAUCCUCACGCCGGAGUGUGGACCGCCCCCGUAGCUGCCCGUCCCUAAAAACAAACUAGCUCUGGCUGCGCACACGUGACCGCACUAUUUUUCUUUAGGAAAGGUUGCUGACUUUUAUUAAUGGAAAAAAUCUCACUUCAUCUUAAAAUAAAUGUCGUGAUUUUAGUUUUAAUAAGUUCAAAUUUAAAGUAAGUCGCGACACAUAUUUUUGGUCAGAGAGAGUAUAAAACAAAACUUAUAGAUAAAUACUAAAUCAAAUCUUAAACUUUAAAUCUUGAAAAUUGAUACUUUAAACUUAUCAAUCCCGGUCUAUUUCAAACCUUAAGAGUAUUUAGCUUGUAUUCGUGGAGACGGGCCAGCCCAUUGGUGCAGUCGCUUGCGCCGCUCAUGCAUAGCUGUAGGUUCGCCUGCUUUAGUCUGUUUUUUUUUCUUUUUCCCUUCUCCCUUUAGCCUUUCUUUGAUUUUUCAUCAGUUUUCUUUGGUUUUUUCUCCUUAGUUAUACUUUAUGUUUUCACUGAUCUCUUUGAAUUUUUUCUCUGUUAUAUUUUUGGUUUUCUUUUGUUUUUUAUUUAUUUUUAAUAUAUUUUCUUUCUUUUUUCUUUGCCGGUUUUAAUUGAUUUUAUUUUUAAAACAUGUCUACUUUUUCUUAGUAUACAAUGUAUAUUUUUAGCACACAUAUGUAAUAUUUUUUUUCAAGAAAUUCCAAAACUUUACUUUAAAAAUGGGACACAUUUUUCAAAAAUCUAAAACAUUUUGCAUAGUAUAGGAAAAAAUGUUGGAAUUCUCAUGAUUUUUGACAAAUGUGAUUUUUUUAAAAAUCAUGAACAGUUAUAUACAUUGCAAAAAUAAUAAAAAUUUCAAAAGAUAUUUUUGAAAAUGCAAAGGAAUUGAAUUUGUGUCAAAAAUAGAUAACAUGAAGAUUUUUUAACUUUAGACCACGAAUAGAAAACAUGCGGAAAAUUCUCAACCUCACGAAUUCUUCUUCUGGUAUAGUGGGCUGACCUAAUUUCUCGUCUGUGAGAGUAGCGGGUUAAAAUAAUGUCUCGAGAUCUCAUUUUUUUAUGAGUUAAAAGAAUGCCAUUACAAAAACACAAGUUGAAAAUAUACCACUACAACAUCCUUGUAUGUGUAUCUAUGCCAUUUUCUCCAAUACCGGGUCAUAUACUCCCCUUAUACGUUUGCACGUACAUAUAUACGAACAUGUGACACACCACACGAAGUAGCACACACAAAAUCGCAACCAUUCUCCAUCCUGAGUCACACACACAAACCCUAGCGUGGGGGGAAUGUCGGUUGGAGGCGCGGUCGACAACGUCGUGAUAGGGCCCAAGGCGGCGGGAGGGGGGCACCACGGUUACUGGUUCGUGCCGCUACGGCUGGAGGAGGGGAUGACAUGACUAGAAUUGUGCGGCGCGGUGGGGGAAGGGGNGGGGGCAGGGGAGGCGGGCGAGAGUCGUUGAGUCCCAACUCCCCGUACGAGAGAGUUCCUCACGCCCAAACCUCAAGCCCCGAACCUUCUCCUGAAAACUUGUCGAAUAUUGACUGGAAUUUUCCAUGGAUGUUAACUCUCAAGACGACAACCAUCGCUAAUGGGAUACAUGGGCUCACAGAAAAGUUCAAUGAGAAAACUACCGUCAAGAAAAUCCUUCAAGUUGUUCGGUCAAAGUCUCCCAAAUUGCACCUGCUAUAGAGCAGUUUGGCAAUUUCAAAAUGAUGACAAUGAAGGAAGUCAUGAGGAGGUUGAAGGUUCAUGAGGCACGACUGCGUGGCUAUGUCCAUGACGACCAAGAUGACAAACAAUUUUUGUUGACAUAUCAAAGCCAAGAGAUCUUGAGUUCAAGAUCCGGGUGGCACAAUUAAAUCAUAGCUCACUUUUGGUCCAUAUUAGACGAGAUGGGGAGUGCUGGCGUAUAAAUGCAUAACACACCAUUUCCAUUAGCUUGAGUUUCUGGGUGAACUGACUAGUGUGCAGUUGUAUAGUGACACACCAUCCGUGUAGCACACACCAUGUCGCAACCGUUCUCCAUCUCGUCUCUCAUACUCGAACCCUAGCAUGAGGGCGACGACAACUCGAGGCGUAGGCGAAGGCGGCGCCCAAGGCGGGGCCAUGGCUGCUAAAAUUCCAUGGAGUCAUUGAGUUGCUCACGUGUGAACCUCAUGCCCCCAACCCUUUUACUCAAAAUUUGGUGAAUGUUGACUAAAGUUUUCCAUCGAUGUUAACUAGAAUAGCCUUUAACCCGUGUUGUUUUUUCAUGAAAUUUGUAGGCUCGAGCCAACGAAUGUUUUUAGCUUAGACCUAGUUCCUCAAGGGUUUCUACCAAAGGAACUGAAUGGUAGGAAAUCAUAUGUGAAGGUGAAAACAAUUAGAUGGAACAUAGACUCAAAGGACUUCAUAAUGGACUAGAAGGGUUGGACACGCUUUGAUGCAUUGUUGAAGUUGUUGUAUUUUUAAAAAUUACCCACUUUGUUUUCAAAUAUAACAUGUAUUACUUUUUGAAAAUCCAGACAUUUUAAGUUUGAUCAAACAUGAUAUCAAAUAUCAAAUCUAUAUGAUUAGAUUCAUCAUGAAAUGAAUUUACAUACUUCUUGUCUAAUAUUGUGGAUGUCAAUAUAUAUUUCUCUCACUUUGGUCAAAAUUAAAAUUUGACUUCAAAAAAAUAAUACCACUUAUAAUUUGGAACUGAUGGAAUAUUUAGUUUAAUGGAUUGGGGAUAUGAUGCAAUGUGUUUUAUUUUUAUUUAUUAAAUCAGGUGAUUUGAUGGAAUUUACUUGGUGUGGUUUUGUGUUAUCCGCUAACCAACAUAUAUUUAUAUGGGAAAGUUUAUGCAUCGAUGGUUGGAUGUACUAUAUUGAUGCUACAAUAUUACAUGGUGGCGCUUCAUUUUUCUAGGUGAUGGGAGGAUGCGCGGGAUUGAUGUAUUUUUAUAGACUGGUUGUUGCCAAUUGAUUUGGAGAAUCGUUGCACCAAUCAAAAUCGUAAACCAAACUCAAUUAAAUAUCUCAAUUGAACGAAAUAACUUCAAAACUGGAGAACAUAAUGAAUUAAAAGAAUAGAAUGGGAGAGCUCCUUGAGAAAAUGUUGACUUGGUCAAAAUCGGAUGACGUGGUUCUAAAUUAAAUACCUCAAUUAAUUAUGAGACCUUAAAAUUUAGGAAGCAUAAUGUAUAUUAAAAAAGAAUUUAAUGAUAAAGCUUCAAGUUGAUGACCCAGACGAAAUCGGGUGAUUCAAUUUCAAUUGAAGACCUUAAUUAAAUGUAGGUUCUUAAAAACAAGGAAGUAUAGUGUUAAAGGAUGUACUCAUGGAUAUGCUCUUGGUGCCUGGCUAUUUAUACAAACCCCGAAGAGAGCACUUCCAAGUAUGUGAGAAGUGAAAUGGAUUCUAACUAGAAUACAAAGUUGCUAAGGGCAUCUCCAAGGCUGACCCCAAAACGGACUGGUAUCCUGCUGCGGGUGCGUAACUGAUACAGAAGACGACCAUCCAACCAUGUCAACAUAUAUUUUAAACCAAAUUUAAUAACCGAAAGAAGUACAUGCAAAGGGAUGAUUUUCGUCUAAACCUGAUGAAUUUUUGACAUAUUUCAACUCAACUAUAACGGAUUACGCUAUCCUAAGCUUGUCUAAAUGAUCGCUGGUUGUGGUGGCGCGUGUUUCCCACAAAAGGUCUUCCACAUGUGUGGCAGCAAGCUCAUCCGACGAGGCGAGGCCUGGUGAUAGGACAUGUAUGUUGCCUAGAAUGGGGGGGGGGGUGAAUAGACACUUUAAAAUAAUUUCGGUUUAGGUUCAAACAAAAGCGGAAUAAAACUAGCGUUCAAUUUCUCAAGUAGAAAACCUAAAUCAACUAUGCUUACCUAUGUGCACCAACAACUUAUACUAACCAAGAUAAAAAAACUAAGUGAUAGCAAGAUAUAUAACAUGAAACAUUAUGGUGGCUAUCACAAAGCAAGUGCAUAAGUAAAGGGCGGGUAAGAGAUAACCAAGGAACACGGAGAGGGCGAUGUAUUUGGAAGUUCACACCUUUGUGGAUGCUAAUCUCCGCUUGGAGCGGUGUGGAGACACAAUGCUCCCCAAAUUGCCACUAGGGCCACUGUAAUCUCCUCAUGUCCUCGCAGAAUGCAAGAUGUUGUGAUUCCACUAAGGGACCCUUGAGGACACUCACCAAAGCCGUACAAAUGGCGACCCUUUGGGGCAGUCAGCGAAAUCGUACAAUUGGAAACCCUUGGGGGCGGUCACCGAAACCCCGUAUAGAUUGCCCGUGGCAAUCUUCACAACUAAAUUGGAGACCCACCAAUGUAGAAAAUCCUAUCCAUGGUGUGGCAAAAAUGACCUUGCUGGCGUGGACACCCGACGCCACCAAUAUGGCCCUAGUAUUAGAAAAUAAUGGUGGCGUUGGAACCGACGCCAAAAGUAUAUUACAUGUUGCUGACGUCCACGUGGCCAAUGCCAGCUAUACAUAUAUAAUACCUUUGUCAUUUGUUGUUGUCCAACGCCAGCAAUUUCUUUUGGAUAAUAAAAAACACUACUUGAGAAACUAAGAGUUUAAACUUCACAAAAUGUACUAAUCAACUAAGUAUACUCAUAAACUUAAUAAGAGUUUAAAACUUAGUACUGAUCAAUAAAACAUACUCAUAAACUUCAGAGUUUAAAACUUCACAAAAGGUACUGAAAUAAUUAAACUACUCUUCAUCAAGGAUUAUCCUGAGCUGGCGAAUCUUCUUUCGAUUGCUCUCUCUAUAAUUUUGGAAGUGAGUGACUUCUAUGUUUAGCUUAGUCCUACCAGUCCUCAGUAGUUUUCUCUCCUCCAUGAAGUCAUCCCUCUCCUCCAUCAAGUCAUCCCUCUCCUCCCUUAGUUUGUUUGACAUGUCGAGAGCAUGAACACCCUUUUGUGAGCGGACUAUCCCGUUCAUUCUUCACACAGAUAUUUUGUUCUUCCAGUUUUUUAUUUUCUAGUGUGAUUCCUCUAGGAGACACUUAUUCCACUUGUUCACAUCGUACACCGAUUCGUUGUUGCUUGAAGAGUUGUCCACAUGUCCUGUUUCAAAUUAUGUACACAAGAAAAUUAAAACUUGUAGUAGCAAUAUAAAUCAACUACUACCUAAACAUUGCAAGAUUGAGACAUAUGUUUCAAAUCCAUCUAAUAUAAAGCAAUCAAAACAUAAAUACUACACAAAACAUAAACAUUGAGAACAUAGGUUCUCAAAUUCAUCUAAUAUAAAGCACUCAAAACAUAUCUAGUACUUGUAUGGAAUUAUCUAGUACUAAGAUCCCGACAAAACAUAAUCACUGAAAACAUAUGUUCCCAAAUCCAUCUAAUAUAAAUUUGUACUAAUAGCAUUCUACACUAAUCGGAUUCUAUACUAAUAAAUUAAUUUCUACUAGUCACAUUCUACACCAAUCAGAUUCUAUACUAAUCAGACUCUACACUAAUAUAUACCUACACUAAUAGGAUUCUACACAAAACAUAUAUGUACACAUUUUUAGGGUUGGGAUCCGCCACGAGAUUGAAGGAGAAGCUCGGGGAGGGGAAGAAGAUGCGGAGGGGAGUGGUAGAUCUCACCUGCUGCCCCGGAGGUAUCGAUGGCCGCAAUGGUCUGGCGGCGGCGACACACGAUGGGGUCAGGAGGUGGCGAUGACGGUAGCGGGCGAGAGAAAGGGGGAUGAGGAGAGAGGAAGGAGAAUAAGGUGAGUGAGUGAAAUUUGACCAAAUUUUUUUUUGACUGGGUACGGGAGGGCUGUUAAAAUGGACUAGUGCUCGCAUGGGCUAAUGGGCCAUGGCAACACAAUCUGUAUCGGAAAAAGAAAAAAAAUAUGCAAUUACCUAUGUGGUGAGAUAUAACCACAGCCAAUGCUAUUUGAAAAAUAUAGUGUUGGCGUCACUUAGAAACGGUGCGGCACAACCAUAAGUUGUGGCUAGCCAUUUCUCCACUAGUGACCCCAACGCUUGCCCAGAGAUUUACACCAUAAUGAUUGAGCUCCAAGACACCACCAACCUUCUAGUGCACUAAAGCACCCAAGAGGCAAAAGCUCCCGGGUUCCCAUAUACCGAAGAGUAAUAAGCUUCUCCACUUUUUAGUUGCACAUAUCACCAUGAAGAACUCAGACCUAUGCAACUAAUGCAAUGGCACUAACAGACGAAGUGGUAAAUUCCAUCACUACCGAAUCAGACCACAAAAACAAAAGCUAUGGAGGAAUAUGAGAGGAAGAACAAGGAGAACACAAAGAACUACAAGACCUAGAUCCAAGGGGUUCGCCUCAUAUAGAGGAGAAAGUGAUUGAUGGAAAUGUGGGCCUAGAUGUCCUCUAUAUUUUCCCUUAAGAAGGAGCAAUAAUCAUUGGAGGGUUGAGAGAUAGCAAGCUCAAAGAAGGUCAACAAUGGGGGAAAACAUGAGCUCAAAGGAUAAUAACCAUUGGGGAGGAAGACCCCCUUAUAUAGGUGGGGACAAAUCCAACCGUUAUGCCUCAGUUUGCAGUAAAGCGGUACUACGGCUCCUAGGAGUGGUACUGCCACUUAAUGCGGUUGUUUCAGGUGUAGUAGAGUGAGCAUGUGAAGUGCGGGAACGGUACUCCUGUCGGAGCUGUACUUCCGUCCCCCAUCAGCGGUACUAGUGCUUAUGUGACCCAGUAUAGAGAAAUAAAGGUAUUGAGAGGUGCCGAAGCAGCACUACCAGUUAACUAUCGCUUUGUACUGUGAAAGCCGCGAAGGGCAACACAAGCCUCAAAUAAGGAGUAGUAGCACCGGUACUAGAAUGUGGUAGUACCGCGUGGGCAGUACUAAUACUUGUGAUCUGCAUUGGGUUUUUCCCAAAGGGGAAGGGAUGAUGCAGCACAUUAUAGAUAAGUAUUUCCCUCAGUGAGAACCAAGGUUAUCGAACCAAUAGGAGAACCGCACAAUUUCCCGUCUUCAGUGCCUUCAAACAAAAGGUCAUACACUUGCACCCAACACGGGAAAGCGGGUUGUCAAUCCCCUUGAACUUGUUAUUUCCAACACGGGAGGGGACGAGGAGGCCGACUCCCUAGGAGGUCUCCUAGGGUCAGGCGACGACCACCAAGAGGUGCCUUGGCCCUCAAGGAAGGAGGGGCGGCGGCCACCUCUGGGCCUGCCCAGCCCCUUGGCCGCAUGGGCCUUAGGUGGAAGGGGCGGCCAGCCCACGAGGGGCUAGUGCACCAUCUCUCACAGCCCAUGGGGCCCUCCUGGGCAGGUGGACCCUCCCGGUGGACCCCGAUAACACCUUUUGGAACCUCCUUCACAAAACCAGUAACUUUCAAAACUCUUUAGGAACUCGAAUACGAACUACCUAUAUAUCAAUCUAUAACUCUGAACCAUUCUGAAGCUCCUCGUCAUGUCCGGGAUCUCAUCUGGAACUCCAAACAACUUUCGGUAAGUAACACAAUAACUCAACUAUAUCUAUAUGAUCAUUGAAUGCUAAGCGCGUGGACCCUACAGGUUUCAGAACUAUGUAGACAUGACUGAUACACCUCUAUGGUCAAUAACCAAUAGCGGGAUCUGGAUUCCCAUAUUGCUUCCUACAUGUUCUACUAAGAUCUAUAUCAUUCGAACCACGAUGUCAAGGAUUCAGCUAAUCAUGUCCAUCGGUAUGUUACUUUCUCGAGAUUCAAUCAUCGCUAUCUCCAUACCUAGUUCAAUCUCGUUAUCGGCGAGUCUCUUUACUCGUUCUAUAAUACAAGAUCCCGUGACUAACUCCUUAGUCUCUCCCUCAUACGGGGUGACAAAUCCCAGUCUUGAUCCAUGCCAACUCAAAAGACACACUCAGAGAUACCUGUAGUGCAUCUUUAUAAUCACCCAGUUACGUUGUGAGGUUUUAUACACACAAGGCAUUCCUCAGUGUCAGGGUGUUGCAUGAUCAAAGGAACAGAUACAUUGACAUGGAAAAAGGAAGAGCAGUAAACUUGAUACGAUCAAAUGCUAUUCUUACGGUUUGGGUCUUGUCCAUCACAUCUCCUAAUGAUGCGAUCCCGUUAUCAAAUAACAAGUCAUGUCUUUGGCUAGGAAACCUUAACCAUCUUUGAUCAAUGAGCUAAUCUAGUAGAGGCUUACCAGGGACACUUUGUUGUCUAUGUAUCCACACAUGUAUUUGAGUUUCCAAUCAAUACAAUCAUAGCAUGGAUAAUAAACGAUUAUCACAAAAAAGGAAAUAUAAUAAUAUCAACUUUAUAAUUGCCUCUAGGGCAUAUUUCCAACAGUCUCCCACUUGCACUAGAGUGAAUAAUAUAGUUUUACAUGUUAAUGAAUCUAACACCAAUAGAGUUCUAGCGCUGAUCAUGUUUUGCUCACUGAAGAGGUUUAGUCAACAGAUCUACUACAUUAAGAUCUGCAUGUAUAUUGCAAAUGUUUAUGUCGUCCUCCUUGAUAUAAUCUACGAUGGAAUUGAAACGACGCUUUAUGUGUCUGGUAAUUUUGUGAAAGCUAGGUUCCUUGGCUAGAGCAAUGGCACGAGUGUUGUCACAAAAUAGGGUCAUUGCAUCUAGUGCAGUCGGCACAACUCCAAGAUCCGUCAUGAACUGCUUUAUCCACAUAGCUUCCUUCACUGCUUUCGAAGCAACUAUAUAAUCCACUUCACAUGUAGAAUAAGCUACCAUGCUUUGCUUGGAACUGCACCAGCUUACAGCUGCAUCAUUCAGAAUAAUACAUAUCUGGAUUGAGACUUAGAGUCAUCCGGAUCAGUGCCAAAGCUAGCAUCAAUGUAACCCUUUACGACGAGCUCUUGAUCACCUCUAUAAACGAGAAACAUUUCCUUAGUCCUUUUGAGGUACUUAAGGAUAUUCUUGACCGCUGUCCAGUGUUCCACUCCUGGAUCACUUUGAAACCUUCUAGCCAUACUUAUGGCAAGGCUGACAUCUGGUCUUGUGCACAACAUCGCAUACAUGAUAGAGCCUAUGGCCGAGGCAUAUGGGAUGACACUCAUAUUCUCUCUAUCCUCUGUAGUCGUUGGGCAUUGAGUCUUUACUCAACUUCACACCUUGCAGGACAGGCAAGAACCCCUUCUUGGACUGAUACUUUUUGAACUUCUUCAAAACCAUAUAAGCCUAUGUGCUUUGUGCCUCGAGCUAUCAUUGAUGCCCAAUAUGUAAGCAACUUCUCCCAGAUCUUUCAUUGAAAAACUCUUGUUCAAAUAUAUCUUCAUGCUUUCCAAAAGUUCUAUAUUAUUUCCAAUUAGCAAUAUGUCAUCCACAUAUAAUAUCAAAAACACUAGAGAGCUCCCAAUCACUUUCUUGCAAAUACAAGCUUCUCCAUAAACUUGUAUAAACCAAACGCUUUGACCACCUCAUCGAAGCGAAGAUUCCAACUCCGAGAUGCUUGCACCAGUACAUAAAUGGACCGCUAGAGCUUGCAUACUUUGUCAGCAUUCUGUGGAUCGACAAAACCUUUCGGUUGCACAUAUACAACUCUUCCUUAAGGAAACCAUUAAGGAACACUAUUUUGACAUGCUUCUACGAGAUUUCAUUAUCGAAAAAUCCAGUUGUUGCUAAUAUGAUUCUGUCAGACUAAAGCAUCGCUACGGGUGAGCAAGUAUCAUCGUAGUCAACUCCUUGAACUUGUGAAAACCCCUUUGCAACAAUUCGAGCUUUAUAGACGGUGACAUUACCGUGUGUGUGUGUCAUCCUCUUAAAGAUCCAUUUGUUCUGAAUAGACUUUUGACCCUCAGGUAAUACUUCCAAAGUCCACACUUAAUUUUCAUACAUGGAUCCUAUCUCUAAUUUCAUGGCCUCUAGCCAUUUGUUGGAAUACGGGAACACCAUCGCUUCUCCAUAGCUCGUAGGUUCAUUGGUGUCCAACAACAUGACCUUCAAGACAGGAAUACAGUACCACUCAGGAGUAGUACGUGUCCUUGUCGACCUACGACGUUCGGUAGUAACUUGAUCUGAAGCUUCAUGAUCACCAUCACAAGCUUCCUCUUCAACUCGUGUAGUUGCCACAGGAACAUCGCCCCGCGCCCUGCUGCUCUUUGGUUGAAGUGACGGUUUUCGUCAUCUUGCCCAUGAGGCAUGGUUCACGUGUAUCAAGUGACUCUAAAAGUCCAUCAACAUGGAGCUUAUUCAUCGAUUUUACACCAAUAUGACCUAAGUGCCAGUGCCACAAUAAAGUGGUGCUAUCAUUAUUAACUCUGCAUCUUUUGGCAUCAAUGUUAUAGAUAUGUGUAUCAUCACUAUAUAGAUUCAACAAGAAUAAACCAUUCACAUUGGGUACAUGACCAUAAAACAUAUUACUCAUAUAAACAAAACAACCAUUAUUCACUAAUUUAAAUGAGUAACCGUCUCACAUUAAACGAGAUCCACAUAUAAUGUUCAUGCUCAACGCAGGCACCAAAUAACAAUUAUUUAGGUUCAUAACUAAUCCCAAUGGUAAUCGCAGAGCGAGCAUGCUGACGACGCUCACAUCAACCUUGGAACCAUUUCCCACACGCAUCGUCACUUCAUCCUUUGCCAGCCUCCACUUAUUCUGUAGUUCCUUCUUCGAUUUACAAAUAUGAGCAACCGAUCCGGUAUCAAAUACCCAAACAUACAACGAGAGCUAGUAAUGUACACAUCAAUAACAUGUAUAUCAAAUAUACCUUUGUUGACUUUGCGAGCCUUCUUAUCGGCCAGAUACUUGGGGCAAUUUCGCUUCCUGUGGCCAGUUCCCUUGCAAUAGAAGUACCCAGGCUUAGGCUUGGAUCCAGCCUUGGGUUUCUUCACGGGAGUGGCAACUGCUUUGUCGUUCUUCUUGAGGUUUUCCCUCUUUCUCUUGCCCUUCUUCAAACUAGUGGUUCUAUUCACCAUCAGCACUUGAUUCUCCUUCUUGAUUUCUACUUGCGUGACUUUCAGCAUCACGAAUGGCUCAGAGAUGGACUUGUUCAUCCCUUGCAUAUUAUAGUUCACCAUGAAGCUCUUGUAGCUAGGAUGCUGUGAUUGAAGAACUCUAUCAGUGUCCGUCUCUCGCGGAAUAUCAACUCCCACCUGAGUCAAACGGUUGUAGUACCCAAACAUUGCGAGUAUGUGCCCACUGAUAGAAUUGUUCUCCUCCAUCUUGCAGCAAAUAAUUUAUCGAGGUGUCAUACCUCUCGAUUCAGGCAUUUGCUUGAAAAACAAAGUUCAACUCAUGGAACAUCUCAUAUGCUCCAUGGCGUUCAAUAUGCCUUUGAUGUCCUAAUUCUAAGUCGUACAACAUGGCACACUGAACUAUCGAGUAGUCAUCAGCACACACCUUCCAGACGUUCACAACAUCCACAUGGGACCCUACAGGGGGUGGUGCACCAAGCAGCGCAUCAAUGAUAUAAGCCUUUUGCGAAGCCGCGAGGAUAAUCCUUAGAUUACGGACUCAGCCGCAAAUUUACUUCCAUCAUCUUUCAAGUUAGCUUUCUCUAGGAACACAUUUAAAUUCAGGGGAGCUACUGCGUGAGUGAUUGAUCUACAACAUAAUUUUGCAACGACAACUUAGACUAUGUUCAUGAUAAUGAGUUCAGUUAAUUAUAUUACUUAGGAACUCCCACUCAAAUCAACAUCCCUCAGGUUGUCCGAGUGUAACAUGAUCCAAAUCCACCAACCCAAGUCCAAUCAUCAUGUGAGAUGCGGUGGUUUCAAUGGUGAACAUUUCCAUGUUGAUCAUGUCUAGUAUAUGACUCAUGUUCGACCGUUUGGUAGCUUUUGUUUGUAGGCCAUGUUUGUACAUGUUAGGCUCGUCAAGUUUAGCCCAAGUGUUCUACAUGUGCAAAACUAGCUUACACGCAUUGUAUGCGAAUGUAGUGUCUAUCACACCUGAUCAUCACAAUGUGCUUCAAAAUGAUGAACCUUCGCAAUGGUGGACACUUCGGGAGAACACAAUUUUAUCUUGAAAUUUUAGUGAGGGAUCAUGUUAUAAUGCUACCAUCGUCCUAAGCAAAAUAAGAUGCAUAAAAGUAUUAACAUCACAUGAAAAUCAUAUAAGUGACAUGAUAUGGCCAUCAUCAUCUUGUGGUCUUGAUCUCCAUCUCCAAAGCAUCGGCAUGAUCUCCAUCGCCACAUGCACGACACCAUGAUCUCCAUCAUCGUGUCGUCAUUGGGCUUGUCGCGCCAACUAUGCUUCCACAACUAUUGCUAACUCAUAGCGAUAAAGUAAAGCAAAAAGUCACAAAUAAAUCAAAGACAAUCCUAUGGCUCCUGACGGUUGUCGUACUCAUUGACAUGCAAGUCAUGAUAAUUGUAUACAAAACAGGAUCAUCUCAUACAUCACAUAUACCGCAUCAUGUCUUUGGCAAUAUCACAUCACAAUAUGCCCUACAAAAACAAGUUAGACUUCCAAUACUUUGUUUUUGCAAGUUUUACAUGAUUGCUAUGGGAAACUAUCAAGAACCCUUCUUACCUAGGUGAUAUUCAAGUUGCUAUUUAACCUUCCACAAGGACCGUCUCUGCCAAAUCCGAUUCAACUAAAUUGGGAGAGACAGACACUCGCCAACCAUGUUUAUGCAACUAAGUUACAUGCCAGCCGAUGGAACUGGUCUCUUGUACGUGGACAAGUAAGGUUGGUCCAGGCCGUUUCAUCCCACAAUAUUGCCGAAUGAACAUAAGACUAAGGAAUUAAGCAAUUUGAACAUCAACGCCCCAAAACACUUUAUGUUCUACUUGUACAUAUCAUCUACGCAUAGACCUAGCUCAUGAUGCCACUGUUGGGGAACGUUGCAUGGGAAUCAUAAAUUUUCCUACGACCACCCAUGAUCAAUCUAUGGAGAUCAAAUCUAUGAGAGUGGAAGUGCAUCUACAUACCCUUGUAGAUCGCUAAGCGGAAGCGUUAAGAAACACUGUUGAUGUAGUUGAACGUCUUCGUGAUCCAAUCACGUCCCAAUCAAGUGCCGAACGGAUGCCACCUCUCCGGUCAGCACAUGUACAACUCGAUGAUGCCUUCACCACCUCGAACUAGCGAGCGAAGGUGAAGUAGUAGUUUGAGUUCUCCAACGGCACGACAGUGUGGUGGUGGUGAUGGAGCUGUCGCGGCAGGGCUUCGCCAGGUGCUACCGCAACAGGAACAAGGGAGAAGUACUACCAGAGAGAGGGGGCUACUCCAUGGCUCUUGGGUGCGACUGCCCUCCCUCUCCUGUAGUAUAUAUAGGGGGGAGGAGGACGCUGGGACCUAGGGUUUCCCAUAGGGUGGGGCGGCGGCCACCAAGAGGUGCCUUGGCCCUCAAGGAAGAAGGAGCGACAACCACCUCUCGGCCAGCCCAUCACCUUGGCCUCAUGGGCCUUAGGUGGGAGUGGCGUCCAGCCCACUAGGGGAUGGUGCAACCCCUCUCAUAGUCCAUCGGGCCCUCUUUGGCAGUGGACCCUCCUGGUGGAUCCCCGGAACACUUUCCAAAACCUCCGCACAAAAUUGCUAACUUCCGAAACUCUUCCGGAACUCGAAUACCAACUUCCCAUAUAUCAAUAUUUACCUCGAGACCAUUUCAAAGCCUCUCUUCAUGUCCGGGAUCACAUCUGGGACUCUGAACAACCUUCGUAAACCAACACAAUAACUCAACUAUAUCUAUAUCGUCAUCAAUGUUAAGCGUGCGGACCCUGUGGGUUCGAGAACUAUGCAGACAUUACCGAGAUAGCUCUAUGAUCAAUAAACAAUAGAGGGAACUCAAUGACAUAUUGGUUCAUACGUAUUCUACAAAGCUCUAUAUUGGUCGAACCAUGAUGUCGAGGAUUCAACCAAUUUCGUUUCAGUUUCCUUUAUCCAUCGGUAUGUUACUUGCCCGAGAUUUGAUCGUCGGUAUCUCCAUACCUAGUUCAAUCUCAUUAGCGACAAGUCUCUUUAGUCGUUACAUAAUACAAGAUCCCAUGACUAACUCCUUAGUCACAUUGCUGGCAAGCUUCUUGUGAUGCUGUAUUACCGAAUGGGCCCAGAGAUACCUCUCCGUCAUACGGAGUGAAAAAUCCUAGUCUCAAUCCAUGCCAACUCAAUAGACACAUUCGAACAUACCUGUAGAGCAUCUUUAUAAUCACCCAAUUAGGUUGUUAUGUUUUAUGCACACAAGGAAUUCCUCCGGUGUCAUGUAGUUGGAUGAUCUCAUGGUUAUAGGAACAGAUACAUUGACAUGCAGAAAGCAAUAGCAGUAAACUUGAUAUGAUCAAAUGCUAUGCUUAUGGUUUGGGUCUAGUCCAUCAAAUCAUUCUCCUAAUGAUGUGAUCCCGUUAUCAAAUGCCAAAUCAUGUCUAUGGCUAAGAAAUCUUAACCUUCUUUGUUCAACGACCUAGUCUAGUAUAUGCUUACCACGGACACUUUGUUGUCUAUGUAUUCACACAUGUAUUUGAGAUUCCAAUCAAUACAAUUAUAGCAUGGAUAAUAAACGAUUACCAUAAACAAGGAAAUAUAAUAAUAACCACUUUAUUAUUUCCUUUAGGGCAUAUUUCCAACAAUCCAGUGGUGAGCAUCAUGGAAUUGUUGAUGGAAAAGGGUUGAUGAUGAUAAUAGUGACAAAUCCCCCUGUGUGGAGCCCCAAACGGACUCGAUAUCAGCCCUCCCGAGAAAGAAGGGGAGGUGGCGGCGGCUCCAUCUUGUAAAACAUGAUGAAAUCUUCUAUCUAAUUUUUUCUAUGAAGAUGUCAAUUUAUAGUACUAGAAUUAGGGUCGGAGGAGUCACGUGGGCCCCACAAGCCAUCAAGGAGCGCCUAGGGGGGUGGGCGCGCCCUGUUGCCUUGUGGACCAUAGACAGCCAUCCUCUGGUGGUUCAUCACUCCAUAAUUCAUUGUAGAUUCCAGAAAUAAAUCACAAAAACAUUCAUACAAUUCCAAGGACUUUUAUUAUCUGCACAAAAAUAACACCAUGGUAUUUCUGCUGAAAACAACGUUAGUACGGGUUAGUUCCAUUCAAAUCAUGCAAAUUAGAGUCCAAAACGAGAGCGGAAGUGUUUGGAAAAGUAGAUAAGUUGGAUAUAUAUCAACUCCCCCAAGCUUAAAUAAUUUCUUGUCCUCAAGAAAUUUAGUUGAUAAACUUAAAGUGAUAAAGAAAACUUCUACAAACUCUUUUGUUCUCGAUGCCAUAUAAAUGCUUAGCUAAUGUUCAGGUUUUUAGCAUAAAUCAUAACUAAUCAUAUCCAUGAUAAUAAUUAAGCAUCAUAUUCAAUCAUGGAAAUACAUAACCAACUAGCAAGCAAUAAUAAUAUAUCUCACAUGCCAACAAUUUUUGAAAACAAUCAUGAUAUAAUAUGGUGACAUGGUAUCUCGCUAGCCCUUUCCGAGACCACAAAACAUGAAUGUAGAGCACCUGUGAGGUUGAAGCAACGACUAAGGUUGAAAAAUGACUAAACAUUAUAAUUUAGGGUAGAAAGGAUCCACUUCAUGCUCACAUCCAACAUUAACUAGACUCAAUGCAUAAGAAUGACAAUAGUGCACUCUGGUCUGGUGCUUUUAGGAAGAGAGUGAUGACUCAACAUACAAGUAAAUAUAUAGGCCAUUCGCAAAGAGAAGCAUUGAUUUGUAGAUGUUCUAGAGCUCAAGUUUUAAAACGGGAUUGAGUAUACAGUUUUUGAGUGGUGUUCUUUGCUGUCAACAUUAUGACAAAGGUUUUCACUAUCUUCCAUGCUAAACUCAUUAUUGGUGGUUCCCAAACAGAAUUGUAAAGUUUAGUCCUAUCCACCAUCCAUUCACAAACCUUGGCUUGUCGAAUUCACGGGUGCCCUCCAACAUAUCAACAUGUCCCAAGGAGUUUGGUUUAUUUUAAUUUUGAUUAUGCAGGAGUUGGCAUCCUUUUUACCAACCUCUCCCAUGCAAUGAUGGCGAAUAAACAACCGCCCUGAGAAUAGCUUACUUAGCAUAGACGAUACCGACCGCCCCGUCGCUGCAUGAGCGAUACGAGUGCACAAAAUAAAUGUUUGUUUGAAUAUUUAGAGGUGGCACAUGCAAAUUUACUUGGAACGGCAGGGUAAUACCGCAUAUAGGUAGGUAUGGUGGACUCAUGUGGAAUAUCUUGGUUUCAUGAUUUUGGAUGCACAAGUAGCAUUCCCGCUUAGUACAGGUAAAGGCUAGCAAAAGAAUGGAAAGCAACCAUUUAGAGAAACAAAAUGGUCAUAAACAUGUAUUGAGAAUAAUUAACAUUAAACAUUAGCAUGGGUAGGAUAUGAAUAGUAUACAUUUAACUAUCAUGAAGGCUGCAUUCGUUUUGAAUCAACUACAUGUUUGCACAUGGGCCAAGUCAAGCCGCUCGAAUCACUCAAAGGGAAAUACCGUACUUCCAUACCACAUCAUAACCAUUUUAAUGCAUGUUGACACACAAGAUAAAUCAUUAUCCACUCCUAGCUAUUUAAUCAUGGCAUGAUAAAUUAUAAUCUCUAAUUAUCAUCAUAAAAAUGUUCACUCAUGAUAUACCGAAUCAAGAUCAAACGAGCUAAACAUAUUCACAAAAAUGGAAAACAAGAAGAGUUCAUACCCGUUUCUGUUGCCACUAUCACUUCGUAAAAUAGCAUCAUUAUUGCCUUCCACUUGCAUGACCGAAUGAUGUGAUAAUAAUAACAAUGCAGGUGCGUCAUGGACUAAGCUGAAAUCUGCAAGGUAUUUGUGCAAAGGAGAAGACAUGGUAAUAUUGGCUCUUUGUUAGAACGAUAAUAAAGCAUAUGAGAGCCACACAACAUUCUCAUCGUGGUCUUAUGCUUUCAACGACUCAAAGAAAAGAAAAAAAUUCAAAGAAACACACUCAAAUAUUUUUGGAGUUUUCGCUUGAAGAAAGCAAAAAAUCGAAGGAAAAAGAAAAAUGAGAAAAACUAUUUACACGAAAGCUUCCAACAAGUAAAGGAAAUAUUUUUGUGUUUUAUUUUAAUAUUAAAACUAAUUAAAUUUGAAAUAAAAACCAAAAAUAAGCGAGAAAUAUUUUUGGCUUUUCUAAGAUUUUCAAACACACAAGAGGAAAGCGGGAAAAUAAAACUAACAUGGAUUUACAAUGAAAAAGGAUGAACACCGAUAAUUUAUAUGAAGUGUGUGAACAUGAAUGUAAUGUACGUCACAAAUAUGUACCCCCAAGCUUAGGCGUUUGCCUACCUUGGUGACCACCAUCGCUGGUCUAGAUAGUAGUCGAAGUGGUAGGUUGGGGAAUUGUUGUGUGCGGCCUCCUGUGCCAAGUGAGCUACUUCCAUUGCAGCGUUGUGCUCUUGCACCUCACUCUCAAGAACAUAGUAUCUCCAUUUAUUCGGGAAAAAAGAGCAGGCGUAGGCAAAGUACCUGAAAUAGGAUUAUAUGUAUUAAAUAUUAAUUUAUACUCACAUCCUCUGGCACUAUGCGUAAUUAGGUCAUGACGGCGCAUGGCUUCAAAGUUGAAAUAUCUCUCACGUAGCAUAGGGUCAUUAGGUUGGGGUGAAAUGUUCAGACUUGUGGCUACACGGGCAACAUUAAUACCACAAUAUAGGUCACCACUAUUUGCGUUAGAUUGCAACCUACUAGCAACAAUGGCACCGAGGUUAUAAUGUCUCUCGCCAGUCACCGCUAUAUGAAUAAGGCUCAAAUCGGGACCGCACAAUCCACUAUUAUCGUGCUUACCCACUACACAUUUUCCAUUAAACAGUGCAAAGUAGCGAAUAGAGGGAAAUUGAAUAUUUUUUAUUCUAGCUUGUGUCACCCCUCUAUCUUCUCCAACGCAAAGAGUCUCCAGGAACAAAUUAUAAUCAGAUUUUCACGGUUUUUCUAGCGAGCCCCAAUAGGGGUGUUUGCAUGCCUCGCAAAAUUCCUUUGAAGAUAGACUAUUUUUUGAAUCAUAGAGAUUAAACAACACUCUAGAACUAUGAUGAUGGUAUCGAAAUCCAUGCGUGAAUGUACGAGUAAGAUUAUAGUGUUCGAUACACUUAUCCACGAGGAAGUCAGCGAGGCCGGUAUUCUAAAUGUGCUAAUUGAAUUCCUCCUUAAUGCAUGCACCGCUCAUCAACGCAUCGCAUGGCCAAUGACAUGAUUUAGCAUCUGACAUGACUGUCCGUCUAACUCUGGAAUCCACAUAAGCUUGUCGUACCGAUCCCUCGCCCAAUGACUCACCCAAAGAACGCCUCCUUGAGGAACUACUCAUGAAGAAGUUCAUAUUCUGACACACAAAUUUCAGGAAUUUUUGUACCACAAAACUAUGUGAGUAAAACUUUGCAAGAUUGAUAGCAACUACUCGUAUGGAUGCCCAGAGGACAUAUCAAGCAUUAACGCUACAUGGAACUCAAAGAAUUAAAAUGCAAGCUCAUUUUUAGUAGCACCAAGUGCAGCAAAAUAUUCAAAAUAUAAAUGACUAAAUAAAAAACUAAUUGGAUGAAUGGGGGAGUCACAUACCAAGGAGUAAUUCCUCAAAACAAUUUCGGAAACGGAGUUCCCAGCAAAGGGAUCAAAAAUUCUAGUUUCUAGAGGAAGAACUAGAGAGAGAGAGAGAUCUAGAGAUUUUUUUCUGGAGGUAGGUGAUGAAGUGAGUUGAAGGGAUAAGGCGGGGGCCCCCGUGGGCCCCACAAGCAAUUAGGGCGUGCCGAGGAGGGUGUGCAUGGACUGUUGGCUUGUGGCCCACAGGGGUACCUCGCUGUUGUAAUUUUUGCACGAGAAUUUCUUAAAUAAUCCAGAAAAAUUCAUGUUAAAACUCUAUGGCAUUCUAAGACUUUUUAUUUUUGGGUCAUUUUUCUAUUGCACGAAAACUAAGGAAACAGGAAAAUCAUCGAAUUUGAUUUUGCUUAACUAAGAAUAACAGAGGGUAAACUUGUGAUAUAGAGAGUUAUGAAUGCUCAAUUCAUCAAUCACAUGUCUUUCAAAAAGGAUCUAUUAAUAAGGUUCAUCAAGUCUUACUAAUAGCCGUUUCGGAUUGACAUGAAACCGAAGAAUUUUCAUAUAUCACUAGGUUACCUCAAUGGGGAUUUGCAUCCGCCCAACAAUAAAAUUGUAAUAAAUUCUCUUGGCAAUAGGUAGAGGGAUUUGAAAAUAUCCAAUGAUAAUGUGGCACAAGGAUCAAUGACAUUAAUAUUGUUAUCCAUAGCUUGCUUCUUCGGAAAAUGGACGAUAUGUUGCUUGCCACUGACAUGAAAAGUUACCUUCCUUUUGUUGCAAUCAAUAACAUCCCCUACAGUAUUAGAAAGGGUCUACCAAGGAUGAUCGACAUAUUGUCGUCCUCAUCCAUAUCAAGAAUAACAAUUUUAUUAAGAUAGUAACAUUUGCAAACACAACAGGAACAUCCUCGCAAAUUCUAAUAGGUAAAGAAGUGGUAUUAUCACCCAUUUGCAAAGGUAUCUCAGUGGGUGUAAGAUUAUUCAAAUCUAGUCUUUUAUAGAGAGAUAAAGUCAUAACACUAACACCAGCUCCUAAAUGAGAUAGAUCAGUUUUAACAUAAUUUCUUUUAAUAAAGGAAGGUAGAGUGGGUAUGCCAGGAUUUCCCAACUUCUUAGGUACUCCACCAUCAAAAGAAUAAUUAGCAAGCAUAGUAGAAAUUUCAAUCUCAUGUAUUUUUCUCUUAUUGGUGAUAAUAUCCUUCGUAAACUUAGCAUACGGAGGCAUUUUCAAUAUAUCAAUCAAGCGAGUACGCAAAAAGGUAGGUCUAAUCAUUUCAGUAAAGCGCUCAAAUUCUUCCUUGUCCUUCCCUUUAUAAGGUUUACGAGGGAAGGACUUGGGUUUCUGAACCCAUGUAUCUCUUUCUUUUCCAUGUUUCCUAGCAACAAAGUCUCUUUUAUCAUAGCUUUUAUUCCUAGUGCGUGGGUUAUCAAGAUUUUCAACACGUUCUGUUUCCACAUCAUUAUUAGGUUCCACAUUACUAUCCGGUGGAUCUUCUACAUGAACAUCAUUAUUAUCGUUAUCAUUAUCACUAAGUUCAUGUUCGCUAUUAGAUUGUGUCUCACCAUCAGAAAUAGAAACAUCAUUAUGAUUCUCAACAGGGUUUUCUAUAACAGGUUUACUAGGAGCAUGCAAAUUCUAUCAUUUUUCUUUUCUUUUUCUUCUUAGAAGGACUAGGUUUAUCAUCAUUUAUUCUCUCAGAAUCCCGUUCAAUUCUUUUAGGGUGACCCUCAAGAUAAAGAGGUUCCUGAGUCAUGCAACCUCCUCUAGUCAUCACUCUAACAACAUGAUCAUUCAUAUUAUCAUUUAUUACAGCAAGUAUAUCAUUUCGUGACUUACAACUUGGUCCAGUUGGGUGUGAACCAUAGAUGCAUGUUUAUCUGGACCUUUCACAUCAUUAGCAAUUCUAAACAUCAAGUCACUUAAGCGGUCUAUCAUCAUGGAAUUUCGUCUUAAUUGAUCCUUAACAUAGUUAUUAAAGUGCUUUUUCUUAACAAUGUAAUUAUCAAAUUCAUCCAUGCAUUGACUAGGAGUCUUAGUAUAAGGUAUAUCACUUUCAUUAAAUGAAUGAGGAGAAUUUACCUCUACUACCUAUGUUGGAAUAUCAGGUCCAUGAAUUUCUUUGAUAGGUGGUACAUUCUUGACACCUUCAAUUUUAAUACCUUUAUCUUUCAUAGAUCUUUUUUGCUUCUUGCGUAUCUUCAGGGAUGAGGAAUAAAAUACCUCUCUUCUUGUGAACAGGUUUCAGAGGUGGUUAUGGGAGUGUCCAAUCAUCGGCAUUUUGCUAUAUGUUAUUUAAUAAUUCUUCAGCUUGUCCAAUAGUUCUUUCUCAGAAAGCAGAACUAGCACAACUAUCUAGGAAAUCCCUAGAAGCACCUGUUAGCCCGUUAUAAAAUAUAUCAAGAAUUUCAUUUUUAUUAAGAGGAUGAUCAUGCAAAUCUCUAGGUAACCAGAGAAGCGCCCCGUGAUCUUGAGGGAGAUUCUCUUCUUAAAUUUGCAAAAAGCUAAAUAUUUCCUACAAGCCAGCUUGUUUCAUACGAGCAAGAAAAUAAUUUUUAGAAAAAUAAUAAAGCAUAUCCUGGGGACUACGCAUACAACCAACAGCCAGAGAAAGGAACCAUUCCUUAGCCUCGCCUUUGAGCGAGAAAGGAAAAAAAGCUUAAGGAUAUAAUAGUAACGUAUCAUUUCAACAUUUGUAAACAAAGCAGCAAUAUCAUUCAGCUUCAUGAGGUUUUCGACAACAGUUUUAUUUUCAUAACCAUGGAAAGGAUCGAACUCAACUAUAGGAAUCAAAUGAGGGUCUAUAGAGAAUUCAUAGUCCUUAUCAAUGACAAAUAUAGUAGGUGAAUGGCAAAUUUAGGAUGAUGUAUCAUUUUAUCCACCAUAGAUUUUGCUUUUAAUUUGCAUAGUAGUUUCUUCAAAUCAUAUCUAUCUUUACAAGCAAGAAAGUUGCUAGCUACUUCCCCAUCCAUAACAUAACCAUCAGGUACACAAGGCAAUUCAUAUCUAUUAGGAGAGCGAGGUGUAGCAAGUGAUUCAAAAUCUUCAUUAGUUUUAGCAUUUUCAAGUCCUCUAGCUUUAGCAAGAUGAGCAUCAAGUAAUUCCUUCAGUCGCACAGUUUCAGUUUCAUCAAGUAUAGUAGUACUAUCAUCAUUAAUUUCAGAGGUAGCAUCAUCAAGUUCAUGUCACAUAUCACGACAAACAACGAGUGGUGGUGUAACAAGUUGAUUCAAAAUAGUAAGUGAAUCAAAAGUAGAGCUAGAUGGCAUUUCCUUACCUCCUCUCGUGCGAGAGGGGAUGAUUUUAGUUAAAGUAUCUUUAAGAUUCUUCAUAGUAUUAAUUGGAUAUACUCAAGUAAACACAAUGAAUAUAGCUAUGCUCCCCCGCAACGACGCCAAAAAAGGUCUUGAUAACCCACAAGUAUAGGGGAUUGCGACAAUCUUGACGGGUAGUGUUUCACCCUAAUUUAUUGAUUCAACACAAGGGGAGCCAAAGAAUAUUUAUAGGCCUUGACAAUUGAGAUGUCAAUUCAAACGCACCUCGGAUAUCUCUCUGCAGCAAAGAUUUAGUAGCACGACAAACAAUACUAGUAGACGUAAGAGUGAUAACAACAAUUUUGGUAACAGUAGUAGCAAGCAUGACAGUAGCAGCAGUAGUAGUAACUUAGCAAGAUUCAAUAUUUGUAAAGCAUAGCCACAUGGAUUAGAAAUAAAAAGAUAUAGAUGACAUCAAUCAUGUAAUAGUUACACACUAGAGCGACACAGAGCUAGCUCCACUUCAUCAAUAUAAUGUAGGCAUGUCUUCCGUAUAUAGUCAUCCAUCCUUGCAAUAAGAACUUGCAUGAAAUCUUUUGUCCUACCCUCGUGUGGCAGCAGGAUCCUAUUGGAAACUUAGGGAUAUUAAGGUCUCCUUUUAAUAGAGAACCGGAACAAAGCAUUAACACAUAGUGAAUACAUGAACUUCUCAAACUACUACAAUCACCAUAAAGAAUCCCAAUUAUUGUCACCUUGGGGUAUGCGAAUCAAGACACAUAAUUGGUAACUACAACUUACAAGAUAGGAUACAAAUACUUUUCAUAUUAAGAGAGACCAUAAUAAGUUUAGAGCCGACAACAUGGCACUUGGGCACUAGUGACAAGCAUUAAGCAUAGCAAAGUCAUAGCAACAUCAAUUCAGAACAUAGUGGAUACUAGGGAUCAAGCCUAUCAAAAUUAACUCGAUUACAUGAUCAAUCUCAUCCAAACCUCGUCAUCAUACAACAAGCCUACUAAGUAAUCACUCACACCCGGUGGUGAUCAUCAUGGAAUCGCUGAUGGUGAAGGGUUGAUGAUGCUAAUGGCGACGAAUCCCCCUCUCCAGAGUCCCAAACAGACUCCACAUCAACCCUCUCGAGGAAGAACGGGAGGUGGCCGAGGCUCCAUCUCGUACAACACAAUGAAAUAUUCUCUCUGAUUUUUUCUGUCAGAAGAAGUGAAUUUAUAGGAUUGGAAUUAGGGUCGGGGGAGCCACAUGGGCCCCACAAGUCAUGAGGGCACCCCUAGGGGGAGUGGGCUGCCCUGUUGGCUUGUGGCCCAUAGACAUCCCUUCUUUGGUGGUUCGUCGCUCCAUAAUUCAUUAUAUAUCCCAGAAAUAAUUCACAAAGAUUUUCGUCCAAUUCUGAGAACUUUUAUUUUUGAACAAAAAUAACACCAAGGUAAUUGUGCUGAAAACAGCAUCAGUCCGGGUUAGUUCCAUUGAAAACAUGCAAAUUAGAGUCCAAAACCAGAGCAAAAGUGUUUGUAAAACAAGAUACUUUGGAGACGUACCAAAAAACACAACACAUCUAUAAAGUAGCAGAAGGAUUUCUAGCAUCAUUCCCAAGGAGUAUCAUUAAUCAACCUAAGGUUCGUUCGGACACAUUAGCAUUUACUUGUUAUAAUUUUUACUUGCCUUUAUUUUAUAGUUUUAGAAAAAAAUAAAAAUAUCAAAAAUAUCCAUGUUACUAUUUUUGUUUGUGUUGGCAUGUGCCUUCUAUUUCCUUGCAUUUUCGCUUGCUAAAAAUUGUUGAUAUUGAUCCUCAUCCACUCGCUAAUCUUUUCAAAAGACCCAAUUAUGUUCAACCAAUUGCUAGUGAGUUGAAUGCACUUAAUUAUGUUUAUGAAGUUUUUCUUGAAAGUCAUGAAUAUGAAAAUUGUGAUGAAGUGUUAAAAGAAACUUAUAAAGCGAUUCAUGAUAUUUACUAAAUGAAAAGCAUGAUUGCAAUGAUGAUAGUAUAAAUUCUAUUAAUGCCAAUUUUGUUAAUGAUAUGCAAAACUACAAGUUUGGGGAUGAUGAUUUUGUAAGGUCCACUAGUUUUUGCAAUGAUCCUGAUUGGGGUGAUAAUGAUUCUUAUGAUCUUGAAAAUUUACUUAAGCUUGAUGAUGAAUAUGUUAUUGGUAGUAAUAUUUGCAAUAUUAUUGAAAGUGGGUUUGGAAGAGUGUCAACUUUAGGCAAGAAUUCCUCACAUUCGGAUAGUGUUGAGUGUUAUUUUUUUUUUCAUAUAAGUGGGUUUGGAGAGGUCAUGACUUUAGUUGAUGUUAGUCCCUCUAUCUUGGAAGAUUACAAAACUUCUAUGCAUAUGGAUCCNNNNNNNNNNNNNNNNNNNNNNNNNNNNNNNNNNNNNNNNNNNNNNNNNNNNNNNNNNNNNNNNNNNNNNNNNNNNNNNNNNNNNNNNNNNNNNNNNNNNUUUCUGUGCAUUUAGUUUUAGCUUUCGAGUAAGUAAGUUCGCGAGAUAUUUUGCUAUGUUGCCCUUUUAAUUAAUUCGUAGGAUUUAUUCCGUGCCUCGUUUGAAUUAGUUGUCAACUAGGGAGUUCUUCUUAGAUGUUUUGUUUAGCCCCUGGUAUUUUUAGUUGCAAUAGAAAUGCAUGUUUAGGUGUGGUUUGACUGCCCUCAAGUUGCUAGAAAUAGUGCUGUUUUAGAGGAGCUGAAAUAUUUCUAAGUCUGGGAUCUGUUAUAAUUUAUUGCUGUCUUGUCUUGCUUGCAUCUUGUGAUCUGUAGCUCUUUUGAGGUUGGUCCAAUGGAGUUAGUUGUACCCCUUGUGUUUCUCUAGCAUGCUAUAAAUUUUCACGCCAUUUGGAGUCCUGUAGCUAUAGGUUUUGCUUCUGUCAAUAUAGCUUCAGAUCGAAAACUGCACUUUCAUGAGGUGUAAUUUUCACUAAGUCUGAAAUAGUGUGUGGGAUGCCAUUUUGUGUCUUCUUUUCCUAGUGCUCCUUGCUGCCAUGCUAGUUGUUGUUAGUUGUUCAUAGUAGUGCUUCUUGCCCUAUUCCGUGCCAUGCCUUGCUUGUGCAUUUCGGAGUUAUGUAGCUCGUAGUUGUGGGGCGUAGAUUAUGCUAUGUGGCUGAUUUUGGCAGAUUGUAGUCAUUUCUUGUUUUGCUCGUAGGUGUUGAACCGUAGCUCCGAUUUGAUCGUGUCCUACAUGAAACUUGCUUAGAAUCUCGUGUAGUUUCAUUUUCUCUUGCUGUUUGAAUGUUUUGACGUGCUCGUGACCGUCGUUGCACACAUNNNNNNNNNNNNNNNNNNNNNNNNNNNNNNNNNNNNNNNNNNNNNNNNNNNNNNNNNNNNNNNNNNNNNNNNNNNNNNNNNNNNNNNNNNNNNNNNNNNNNNNNNNNNNNNNNNNNNNNNNNNNNNNNNNNNNNNNNNNNNNNNNNNNNNNNNNNNNGUGUGGUGAAUUUCGUGUCUUGAUUUGUGUUUCUGGUUUGCUUCGUCUCGAUAGAGUUCCGCAACGUGCCGAAUUGUGAGGACCCGUUCGACUACGUCAGUUCGUCUGCUUCACGGAGGCAUUCUUCUUCCAAGCGGGAUCUCAGGCAAGAUGAUCAUUUCCCUAGAUACGAUUACUAUCAUUGCCAUAAUAGUUAUUUCGAUGCUAUCGGUUAUGUCUCGUUGCCUACNNNNNNNNNNNNNNNNNNNNNNNNNNNNNNNNNNNNNNNNNNNNNNNNNNNNNNNNNNNNNNNNNNNNNNNNNNNNNNNNNNNNNNNNNNNNNNNNNNNNNNUAAAUACAUAAACGUGGAGUUUCGUCAAUAUGCAACUCUUUGCAUAUUGAACUUCACUUAAUGUGUAGUGUUUGAUUGUGUGAAUUGUCAUGCCGUGACUUGCAUGUAUUCAGUAGCUCACGCAUCAUAUGUGUAGUGCAUCGUGUGGUGAAUUUCGUGUNNNNNNNNNNNNNNNNNNNNNNNNNNNNNNNNNNNNNNNNNNNNNNNNNNNNNNNNNNNNNNNNNNNNNNNNNNNNNNNNNNNNNNNNNNNNNNNNNNNNNNNNNNNNNNNNNNNNNNNNNNNNNNNNNNNNNNNNNNNNNNNNNNNNNNNNNNNNNNNNNNNNNNNNNNNNNNNNNNNNNNNNNNNNNNNNNNNNNNNNNNNNNNNNNNNNNNNNNNNNNNNNNNNNNNNNNNNNNNNNNNNNNNNNNNNNNNNNNNNNNNNNNNNNNNNNNNNNNNNNNNNNNNNNNNNNNNNNNNNNNNNNNNNNNNNNNNNNNNNNNNNNNNNNNNNNNNNNNNNNNNNNNNNNNNNNNNNNNNNNNNNNNNNNNNNNNNNNNNNNNNNNNNNNNNNNNNNNNNNNNNNNNNNNNNNUUAUGUCUCGUUGCCUACCACUUGUUAAAUAUCAGCCUCUCAACAAUGCCAUGUUAACCUUCAACCUGUUCGACCUAGCAAACCACUGAUUGGCUAUGUUACUGCUUGCUUAAUCCUGUUGAUAGCGUUGCUAGUUGCAGGCGCAGUUGCUUCCAUGUGAUAACAUGGGUUCCUUGUCAUAUCANNNNNNNNNNNNNNNNNNNNNNNNNNNNNNNNNNNNNNNNNNNNNNNNNNNNNNNNNNNNNNNNNNNNNNNNNNNNNNNNNNNNNNNNNNNNNNNNNNNNNNNNNNNNNNNNNNNNNNNNNNNNNNNNNNNNNNNNNNNNNNNNNNNNNNNNNNNNNNNNNNNNNNNNNNNNNNNNNNNNNNNNNNNNNNNNNNNNNNNNNNNNNNNNNNNNNNNNNNNNNNNNNNNNNNNNNNNNNNNNNNNNNNNNNNNNNNNNNNNNNNNNNNNNNNNNNNNNNNNNNNNNNNNNNNNNNNNNNNNNNNNNNNNNNNNNNNNNNNNNNNNNNNNNNNNNNNNNNNNNNNNNNNNNNNNNNNNNNNNNNNNNNNNNNNNNNNNNNNNNNNNNNNNNNNNNNNNNNNNNNNNNNNNNNNNNNNNNNNNNNNNNNAGCUGGUCUGGCAAGGCCCAACUUUGGUACUACAUUUGCCUAAUCACUAAUGAACUGCAUAGGGAGUAAUUAACCCGAGGAUAUUUUAAUCAACCCCCGGGCCAGUGCUCCUCAUGAGUGUUGGUCCACCCACCUAGCAGUCGGCGGUGCCACCACGGGGCAACUCGAGGUUUGGUUCCCGUCCACUUGCAUAGACGGUGUGUCUUGAGAACGAGAUACGCGGCUCCUAUCGGGUUCGUCGACACACCGGGUGGCCUUGCUGGAUUAGUUUUACCUUUGACGAGAUAUCUUGUGCAUCUGGAUUCCGGUGAUGCUUUGGGUAAUCUCAGAGUUGAGGUUUUCCACUAGGGAAUCCGACGAGAUCGCGAGCUUCGUGAUUCAGGAUUUCUAUGCGGCUUGUGGUAAUUUGUGAUGGACUAGUUGGAGCACCCCUGCAGGGUUAAAUCUUUUCGGAAAGCCGUGCCCGCGGUUAUGUGGUAACGUGGUAGCUUUGCUUAACACUGGUUCUAGAUAACUUGAAGUUAAUUUAAUUAAAAUAUGCCAACUGUGUGCGUAACCGUGACUGUCUCUUUCGUGAGUUCCUUCUCCGAUCNNNNNNNNNNNNNNNNNNNNNNNNNNNNNNNNNNNNNNNNNNNNNNNNNNNNNNNNNNNNNNNNNNNNNNNNNNNNNNNNNNNNNNNNNNNNNNNNNNNNNNNNNNNNNNNNNNNNNNNNNNNNNNNNNNNNNNNNNNNNNNNNNNNNNNNNNNNNNNNNNNNNNNNNNNNNNNNNNNNNNNNNNNNNNNNNNNNNNNNNNNNNNNNNNNNNNNNNNNNNNNNNNNNNNNNNNNNNNNNNNNNNNNNNNNNNNNNNNNNNNNNNNNNNNNNNNNNNNNNNNNNNNNNNNNNNNNNNNNNNNNNNNNNNNNNNNNNNNNNNNNNNNNNNNNNNNNNNNNNNNNNNNNNNNNNNNNNNNNNNNNNNNNNNNNNNNNNNNNNNNNNNNUUAUGCGUAGAUCUUCCCCUCCCCCCUCGUUUUCUCGUACUCGUAAGUUAGCCACCAAAUAUAUGCUUAGCCGCUGCUGCAACCUCACCACUUAACCAUGCCUCACCCAUUAAGCUUUGCUAGUCUUGAUACCUUUGGAAAUGAGAUUGCUGAGUCCCCCUGUGGCUCACAGAUUACUACAACACCAGUUGCAGGUAAAGGUAAAGGUUACUGGACGCGAGCGCGUUGAUUGUUCAUUUGGAGCUUCUUCUUCUUCUUCUUCUUCAUCGAUCUAGGAUGGGUUCCAGGCCGGCAGCCUGGAUAGCAAGGAUGGACGUCUUUCUUCUUUUGUCGUUUGUUUUCGUCCGUAGUCGGACCCUGCUCUUACUCUUGAUGAUUAUGUAAUUUACUGAUGUGACUUUGAUGUAGCUUGUGGCGAGUGUAAGCCAACUCUGAAUAUAUAUAUCUUCUUUUCAGUACAUGUACUUGUAACGAUAUCCAUUCUUGCGACACGACGAGAUGCGCUUCUAUCCCUGACGAGGCCUUCGUGCCAAAUUGAGGAUAGGGUCGCAUCUUGGGCGUGACAAGUUGGUAUCAGACCAUUACCGACCUAGGAGCCCCCUUGAUUGAUCGAACUUGGCCGAGUCGAGUCUAGUGAAAAACUAUUUGAGUCUUAGUUAUAUAUCGGAGAGUAGGAUUCUUUUUUUCUCCUCUUCUAUGCUCUGGUGAGGAAUCUUGACGUAAUAUUUUAAUUCUACUCCUCUUCUUACUCAAAUUUUUUUUAGGAUCAUGCAGAUAUUUUUGAGAUCUAUAUGAUGCCGAUGUGAGGGAGUUCUGUCUUGGUGCCUCCUGUCUGACUUGAUUUUCUUCCGGGGAGUUGAGCUCCAGGGGAUUCUCGAUCACAUCGUUAUCAUUCAGAUUUCUUAGUAUCUCAGAACGAAGGAUGUUCGUAAUUGCUUCAAUACUAGUAGUGGCGAGAUAACCCCGAUGUCCCCAGUACUGGUGCAGAUUGUUCGGGAGUACUGCCAUACUUUGUAUCAUUGUGAUCACGAGGGUCUGUUGUGGAUGAAGGUCCGAGAUUCUGGUUGUGUGUUGAAGGAUGUGAUACAGGUGACGGGUUAGUAUAGGAGUUGUGUGAUAAUUACUCCUUGUAUCCGUGUACCAGAUUGCAUGACCAGAUCUUUCGGGAAUUCAUAGGUGGGAAUUCAAGUAGUUACUUAUAGGACAUUCUUCCAACAAAUGCAUGAUAUUAGGUUGGGGUUCGACAUCUAGUGGAUUCGUUUGUUCACGUCGACUUACAACAGUACACGUUGUGUCUUAAAGAGUCCUUGUAGCUUGCUACGACUCGGGGACGCUUCGUAUGUCGGGUGCACUGCCUUGCACUUGAUGGCUACUGUAAAAUCGUGCCCGUGCGAUCUUGUCCACGAAAAUAUCGGACGAAAUCUUUCUCAUGAGUUUGUUCUGGCUAAUUGUAAGCAUCACCCUUUGUUUUGUUGGAAUAUGGGAAUUCAAGUUGCUUCGAUGUCAAGUGGUGAUUUCAGAUCUUUCCUAAGCGGUGUUCUCAUAUUUUUGUGGGAAUGCUAAUUCUCUUUGCUCAAAUCAAUUGUCUUAUCAUUCUUGUCAACCGGAGUCGUCAUGUUAAUUAUUUUCCAACCGGUGUGUUUCUCUCCAAGUGGAUUCAAUCCUCUCCAAUUUUUGCAAGAUCAUUCUCUCGUUUUAUUCCGGAGUUCAUCUCAUCUGUCCCAUGUUGUCUUUGUUUUCCCGCCCUCCCGCCCUUUUUCUCAGUGAUUCAAUUUUCAUCCAGGAGUUUUCUUUUCUUUGUGCUUCCGCUGUCUGUUCUUUUCUCUCUUACCCGGGGAUGCAUUGUGAAGAUUCUCAGGAGCUUCGUGUUCAUAUUUGUUCGUUCUUGUCAUCCUUACCGGUGAAUUUAAUUCAGUUCUCCGUGUUCAUCAUAUUCCUUUCGUCCUUGUAAUUCUUUCCUCUGUUGGAAAUUCUUAUCUAGUCUUUUGUUGGCAUUUAUCUCUAUUCUAUCUGGUGUGUUGAAGACAUCUCAGAGUUUCUUGUUUCAGAUCUUUCAUUAUUUCGAGGUUCUCAACCUCAUCUAGUUUUCAUUUGUACCGGUGCAAUAUCUCUCUUUCUAAGAAAUCUUUUCAACGGUGAUUUCUCUGAGUGGGCCCAUAACCCACAGGUUUUUCCCAGGAUCUUAUAUGUCUCUUCUAUUUUUCCACAGAUCUUUAAAUCUUUUCAACUAUGACGUAAGUAUGAUUUUCAUCAGUCAUAUCCCUUCUUCAAGAUCUAUUUCAAUUAAUUCAUUCUUUGGCUCAACCUUUCAUUCUUUUCUAUUCCGGAGUGUCUCAGUAAUUCUUGGUGGUGUUCUUCUCAUCAUUCUCUUCUUUCAAGACCGAAGGAGUGUUUCUCUCAAAUCUUGGUCUAUUCUCUUGGAUAUUCCUCAUUUCAGCUUUGUGCCAUCAUCCUGAAUUUGUUGCCAAUCAUGAGUAUCCUUUUCUUGCGAUCCGGUGCAUUUCUGAGUUGUUUUUAUUUCUCGUUCCUCCGAAGGCCAUCAUUUCAGAAGAUUCUUCGUUCUCAGCUUUCAUCUUUCAUCCUCAAUUCUUCUCAAUUGUUGUCUCUUCGUUCGUCUCUCAUUUAUCCGGUGCCUUGUUUAAGUUUUUUUUCUUCUCUCAGGUGACUCAUGAUCUCUUCAUUCUCUGGUAUCUCCAUUCAUCCGUGGUGUUCCCAUUCAGUUGUGAAUUCUUACCGGUGCUUCCCUAAUUUUGCCUCAAGUGGUGCUUAUCUCUCUGCCUCUUCAAGAUUCUUUCAAGAAGAAUAAGUGGUAUGCUAAAUACGUUGCUUGUCAUCAAUUAAACUUGAUGAAGGAUAAGCAUAACAUAAUUCUUAUUCUUGUUCAUAGUAAUCUGAAUUCGUCGUCCGGAGUGGCUCAUGAUAUCAAUUCCUUUUUUCUCAAGUGUUCUUAUCUUUUCUUUUCCGGAGAUCCAAGUUUUCUCAAGUUUCUCUUCGUGAAGCUUCAUCGAAGACUUUGCAAGGCUUCAAUCUUAUUCUUUCAUCCUUCAUAUCUUUGCAUCAUUCAUUUGUAUACGGUGGUCCUUCAUGGUGGUUCAUCAAGGUUUCUAUCCAUUCUUAAGUGUUCUUCAAGAUUCGUGUUGGAGAACCUCAAGUAUCCUUUCUCUUGCAUUUCCAAGUGCAUUUGUUCUUCCUUAUCCUUUGAGGUGGUAUUAUAGCGUUCUUGUUAGUGUAGGAGACUCGAAGAGUUUUCCUUUCAAGAAUGAGAUAAUUGAAUCCACCAAUCCUUUGAUCAUGAGAUUAUUCUUAACUCAUGGUUUCUUCAUUGAGCUAUCUUGGUUUGGAUUUCACCUAAAGAUUUUCCUAUGGAUUGUCCUAUCAUGGUGCUUGUCAUUAACCCAAGUUCUCAACGGAUCCUCUUGGUGUAAGAGAGUGUUCAUAUCUUGUUUCUCCCAAUCAAUCCUUGUUUCUAUUAGUGGCUGGUUGGCACUUCAUUAGUUUGAAAAGGUUCCCAUAAGCCCACUACUAUCUUGUUCUUUUCAUUGUUGUUUUUCCAACAGUUCCGUCCAAUUCUUCUUGCAAGAAUGCUUGUCAAGUUCAUUGGAGUUAGUAGUUGUCAUUCUCUUCUUCCGUAUGAGCUAGUUCCUAUUCUAUUGUUCCGGAGGCUUUGUGAUAUUGCUCUUUUGGGUCAAUCUUGUUGUUCUAUCAAGAUCAUGGUCUUCCCUUGUUCUAUUUAGUUGUUUGUUAUGUAUAUUGUCUAUUUCUUCUACCUUUUCGAUUUUUUUGUCCCAUUUUCCUACCGAAGUGCUGCCGAAAUUUUCCGUGAAUUCUUGCUUGUUUCUCAUAUCAUUCCUCAUCUCUUUGCAACUUUCAAGGGUCGUUGGUUUCACUCGUUUGUCAAAGAAGCGACUAAGUCUUUACCUCUUACUCUUUCUCAUCCUCUCCCCCUUUCAUUCUUGGAUCUCGGGGUGAGAUUCUCUUGUAGUGUAGGAGAGUUGUGACAGCCCGAUGCCGACGUUCAAGAAGAUUCCCUUUCCUUUUCGUUUUCGUCGUGUGUCUGUUUUAUUUUGUCGCAUCAUCAUCGCAUCAUGCGCAUCAUCAGCAUUGCAUCGGCAUCCCGUUGCCGCCCGUUUUUAAAACGUGCAUCUCUUGUUAGUUGCCGGUUCGCGUCGUUGUUCGUUCUGCGUCUGACCGCACACGCACGCGCCCGCGGCACCGUCGUAACUCUGUUUUUAAAGCGUGUAUAAAACUUUCUCCGAUUGAGCUAGAAUUUGUCGUGCGGUUUUAUUUAUAUAUAGGUAGGCCGCCUGUCGAAUUUCGUCGCGAUCGGAGAUCGUCUGGUACCCGAACGGUCGACCGUAGCGGCAUCGUAUUCGGUCUACCGUCGGACGUCUGUCGGUGUUUUAAAAAUCGUUGCCGCGCCGCCCGUUCUCCCUCUCGUCUCCGGAUAUCCCCUCUACACGGCCGCGUACCCAUACCCGCGUUCGGAAUCGUCCGAAUCCGACCGCACGGUUGGAUCCGAAACGCGAUUCCGGGUAACCUAGCCCCCCCCCCCGUUUGUCUAUAUAUAGGUCCCUUCUAAUUUUCGGACAGCCUCCCUCUAAUCCCUCCUUGUUUUCCGCGCCACCUACCCCUAACCCUAGCUCUCCUCCCGCAGACUCUCUCUCCCGCAGCCGCCGCCGGCCCGCGAGGCCCGCAGCAGGCCCGCCCGGGCCCGAGCCACCGCGCCGUCCUCGGGAGGAGCCCGAGCUCCCUGUAGCUCCCCUCCACGAGCGCCUCCCGCUGGUCGCCGCGCCGCCCCCGGGCGCCUUGGCCGACGAGGCCCCCUCCUGCCUCCGCCACCGGAGAGCCUCGCCGGAUCCUGCCUGCAGCCCCGUCGGACCACGCCGGAACCCCAUCUCCAUGCGCUACCAGCCUCGCCGCCGUGCACCCCGCGCCUCCGCCUAGCUCCGCCUCUCCCGAGCCGAUCCGCUCCUCGCCGACGCCGGGAUCCGGCCGCCCUGGCCAGAUCCGGCAGAGCCCCCACCGGAUCUGCCUCCCUCCGUGGCCUGCGCCACACGCCCCGACAGAGGGUGCGCCGCCGCCGUUCCCGUGCCCUCGUUCUCCUCGGGAGCACGGGAGGAGACGAGCAGCAGCACAGCGCUCCCGCUGGGCCACUUUGCCGCGUCCUGGGCCUCCCCCGCACUGCGGCCCAGCUCCCCGUGUCAUGCCCCAGGCCCAGGCGCGCCCCCGGCCCAGCAGUGUCGAGGCCCAGGCCGCCUCCCCUCGCUCUGGCCGGCUUCCUCCAGAUCUGGGCCGAAGCCCAUGGUGAGCCUCUCCCCCCUGUCCUCUCUAUUUUGCGCUUAGGCGUUGCUUAGUUCCUUUGCGCAUGCCCUGUUGGGCCCAGGAAUGGUUUAGGCCCAUUAGAAUUUAGGUUGUUCGUUUAUUCAAUUUCAGGGCUUGUUAGAUAUUUUAAAAUGUCGUAACUUUUUAACCGUAUAUCGGUUUGCGACGAGUAGCAUAUGUAUCUCGUGUAAAUUUUCGCGUAGAAUCCGAUGUUAUAGCUUGCAAUUUUGUUUGACGUCGUUUAGCAUGUUGUUUGCCUAGAUAAGCGUGUUGUUCUAAUAGAUUUCAACCCGUAUUUAUUUUUCGUGCAAGAUUGGGUUGCUCGAAUGCCUUAGAUAAAUGCCCAUGUUUUAGGGACUAUUUAUCCAUGUUUUUUAGAGCAGUCAUUUGUAUUUUUUUACGUGUAGGGAUUGCUGGUAGAUUACUUUCCCGUGUAUAGGUUAUAUUUCUCGCAUUUAUGUGUGGCUUUAUUUUGUGUUGCAACCCCACAUAUUUUAUAUGUUUCUGUGCAUUUAGUUUNNNNNNNNNGAGAUUGCUGAGUCCCCCCUGUGGCUCACAGAUUACUACAACACCAGUUGCAGGUAAAGGUAAAGGUUACUUGACGCGAGCGCGUUGAUUGUUCAUUUGGAGCUUCUUCUUCUUCUUCUUCUUCAUCAUCGAUCUAGGAUGGGUUCCAGGCCGACAGCCUGGGAUAGCAAGGAUGGACGUCAUUCUUCUUUUGUCGUUUGUUUUCGUCCGUAGUCGGACCCUGCUCUUACUCUUGAUGAUUAUGUAAUGUACUGAUGUGACUCUGAUGUAGCUUGUGGCGAGUGUAAACCAACUCUGAAUAUAUAUAUCUUCUUUUCAGUACAUGUACUUGUAACGAUAUCCAUUCUUGCGACACGACGAGAUGCGCUUCUAUCCCUGACGAGGCCUUCGUGCCAAAUUGAGGAUAGGGUCGCAUCUUGGGCGUGACAAGGAACCAUCCCCACUGGUUUUUGUGAUUCAGUGAUUGUGCUCAUUCCGAAGGUUAAUAACCCUUAACAUCUCAAGAACUUUCGGCCAAUUAGCCUCUGUAAUGUCCUUUAUAAACUCACCUCGAAGGUACUCUCAAACCGACUUAAAGUUUUUCUGCCCGAGGUGAUUUCAGAGAAUCAAAGUGCAUUCAUCCCUCGUCGUCUCAUCACGGAUAAUGCUCUUAUUGCUUUUGAAAGUUUACAUACGAUAAGAUCCCAAAGAGCGAAAAAGCCUUACUUUGCUCUCAAGAUUGAUAUGAUGAAAGCAUACGACCGUGUUGAGUGGAAUUUUCUUCAUGGUUGUCUAUCACGGUUGGGUUUUGCUGAUUCCUGGAUAUACUCGGUGAUGCGGUGUGUUACAUCUAAUCGUUAUGCUGUCCGGGUCAACGGAGAUCUAACAGAGCCUAUGGUGCCAACCCGGGGUAUUCGUCAAGGUGAUCCAAUCAGCCCCUAUCUCUUUCUUCUUUGUACUGAAGGUCUGUCAUGUUUGCUCAAACAGCAGGUGGACCAAGGUGUGCUACAUGGUAUUAAAAAUGGUCGACUUGGUCCUGCUAUCUCCCAUUUACUAUUUGCAGACGACAGCAUUUUCUUUGCAAGAAGUGACAGGAGGAGUGUACAAGCUUUGAAAGAUACCCUUCACCUAUAUUGUCAGGGCUCUGGACAAAAGAUUAAUGUGGAUAAGUCUUCUAUCUUCUUUGGUAAUGAUUGUCCAAAGGUGAUCAAGAAUGAGGUUAAACAUAUCCUUGGUGUUUUCAGUGAGUCUCUACAAGAUUCUUAUCUUGGCAUGCCAACACAUGUGGGGCGAUCAACUACUAUGACUCUCAAAUUUUUGUAUGAUCGCAUGUGGAAGCGUAUCAAUGGAAUGUCUGAUAGACCAUUGUCUAGGAAAGGAGUGGAGAUUCUUUUAAAAUCUGUGAUUCAGGCGAUUCCAACAUACAUUAUGAGUUGUUUCCAUCUUCCCGUUGGUACUUGCGAGCAAAUGAGGAGAAUUAUUGCGGAUCAGUGGUGGGGUUUUGCUGAUGGUAAACGAAAGAUGCAUUGGCGUUCAUGGGACUGGUUGACAUGUCCGAAAGCUAUGGGUGGUCUUGGUUUCAGAGAUAUGAGUAUGUUCAAUCAAGCUAUGUUAGGCAAGCAAUGCUGGCGGCUAAUCACAGAACCAACUACAUUAUGUGCUCGUGUCCUUAAGGGACGUUAUUUCCCAAAUACAGAUUUCUGGAGCGCAAAAUGUCCACGGUCUGCUUCCUAUACUUGGCGAAGUAUUCUUCAUGGCAUGGAGCUUGUCAAGAAACGUGUCCGAUGGGGUGUGGGUAACGGUGCUUCCAUUAGGAUUCAGGAUGAUCAUUGGAUUCCUGGUGUCAAUCCACAGUUUUUACAUCUUCUGACUCCUCUAUCGGCUGGACAGAAGGUUAAUUCACUCUUUGCUGGUGAUGGCCUCACUUGGAAUACUCAACUAGUCCGAUCUGUCUUUGAGGAAUCGAUUGCGGAUCAAGUUCUACAACUUCCCAUCAGUCGGUUUGGGGACACUGACUUUGUGUCAUGGCCACAUACACGUUCUCGUACAUACUCGGUCCAAUCUGCCUAUCAUUUGGCAAGAAUGACAAAGAUGAUUGUAUCCCGCAGCAGGUCAGGUCGUGGUUUGUCUUCUAAUCUACAAUGUGAUGCUAUUUCAUGGAACAAAAUUUGCGCAAUCAAGGCUCCAGGGAAGAUGUUGAUAACUAUUUGGAGAUUCGCUCAUGAUUGCUUGCCAUCAGGAAUGCAACUUCACUGGCGACAUAUCCCUGCUUCUAAGGUUUGUGUCCAUUGUUCUGCAGAUGAGCACAUAGAACAUGCAUUGCUAUUUUGUCCUUAUGCAAAAGCGGUUUGUUCUGAUGUUAAAGCCUACUUCAACUUGCAUCUUUGUCAGAAAGGACUCAAAAAUUGCAAAACAUGGAUCUUUGAUUUUUUGGCAAGUUGUGAUGAUCUUUCUGCCACAGUUCUUGCAGUCACGUGUUGGCAUAUUUGGAUGCUAGAAAUAAACUACGAGAAGAAAAUAUUACUCAGCAUCCUAUUAGUCUGGCUCUGAAAGUUAAAGCUUAUGUUGACAUGAUAGUGCAGCAUUUGUACAUUACUACUACCAACCAUAGGCGUGAACCCUCUAGAACAGCUUCCUGGGUUCCGCCGCCGGCAGGUAAGGUGAUGAUAAACGUUGAUGCUGCCAUUUUUACACAUGACAAGAGCAUGGGGGCAGGUGUGGUGAUGCGGGAACAUUCAGGUUCUGCAUUGUUUGUUAUGGUAUUGGUGUUCCUGAUGUGAUCCUUCCUGAGUUAACGGAGGCCAUUGCAAUUUGCAUUGUGUAAAGGAAUUCAGGAAGUCUUACUUGGUUCUAAUUGCUUGACAGUUGUCCAGCGUGUCAACUUACUGGACCAAGAUCGAUCUAUUUGUGGUUCUGUGAUUCAGGACAUUAAGCAACUUAAGGCUUUGUUCACUAGUUGUUUUAUAUUUCAUGUGCGUAGGGAGCAGAAUGUUGCUACACAUCUGUUGGCUCGAUCUUGUAAUCAGCUAGAGUGUCGCGUUUGGCGUGGUGUGUCCCCGGAAUGUAUCCGGGAUGCUAUUUGUAUGGACAUUAUGCCAUAAUCUAUAAAGUGGGUUUGUUAUAAAAAAGGUCUUAUAUUUAGGAACGGAGGGAGUAAAUCAUUAAAUAGAAUGAGCUCAGCAACAACAAGUUAAGCAACUAUGCAUUGAAAAAUAGAGUUGCUAAGCUAUUUAAUGCUCUUAGCACCUUUCACUAGAAGGAGCCUAAGAGCAAUUUUAAUGGAGCUAUUCAUUUUGUCGGCCGUCAUACGUUUGGGUCGACGCAGACACAAAAGACGGCCCAGCGCGCCGAUCCAUUUUGAAAACAUGUCCGAUCCACGUCCGUGCCGACCCAUUUCCGGCCCAAAUUUGGGACUAAAAUGCGUCGGCGCGGACGUGCGCGCGCCCUCUCGGAGUCCGUGCCAACCACCGCGGUCUACAUAAUUUAUGACGCCCGCCCUCCUCGGGCCCACGCGUCAGUGGCCGUGGUUGGUCAUUUUUAAUCCGAGCGUGCUGUGGGGUUCGCCCAUCUGCUUUCAGAACCCUCCCCCGUCCCCAUCUCGCCACCCCUCUGUUUCCUCGUCGACGACCCAACAACCAUGAACAACGGCGACAACCUCGUCGUCUAUGCGCGCGCGAUGCUUCCAGAGGAGGUUGCCUACCUGCAGGCUAAGAGAGCGAUGCACCAGGGGCACGAGCGUGCCCGUGCUACGCCCGGCUUCGUCCAAAACACCCUCGUCGUCUACCCCCGCGCGCUGCUCCUCGAGGAGGCCGCCUACCUUCAUGCUAAGAUGGCGUUGCGCUUGGUGAACAAGCGCGCCCGUGCUGCGCCACCGCCUACACCAUCGCUACCCGCGCAGGCACAACCCGCCCCCGUUCCAGCACAACCUGACCUCGCCGACGCCGCCUAGGACGCCUAGUUUUUUUUUCAUUUAUAAUGUAACGCGUAGACUCUCGUUGGCCUUCGUGGCCGGCUUUUAAUGUUUAAUUGUGCAUGUUUAGUAUAUUUGUAAAUAAUUUAUAUUUUUUUGCACGCCUACAAAAAUGGGCCGAGCCAGCGUUGGACGCAUGUGCCGACCCAAACAUCGAAGCGGACAUUCGUGUCCGCUGGGCCGACCCAAACGGACAAAAAGGAGACAAAUCACCAUCUGUGUGGGUCGGCCCGUUGGAGUUGCCAUAAACGCUCUUAUAUUAGUUUAUAGAGGGAGUACAUAAUAAUUGUGCACAACAACUUUCGUUGGCUAUGUACUCAACUUUGGCAUUGGGGAGAGAUACACAUUUUUGCUUUUUGGAUGACAAAUUCACUAAUGACCUAUCAAGGAAUUUCUCAUUUAGAAACAUCGUAAAGUGACCAUACCAAGCACAUGUAUUGCUUGUCUCAGUCCAUAGAACGUCGAAGCAUGUUGAGUGUGAUAGCAUCGAGUUGAUCAACAACGGCCUCCCUUGGAGUAAGACUUGAAGGGUCAUUGGGCUUGAAGCCAUUGACAAUCAUCCACCAUAGCUGUGUUGAAGCAAUUUCAAGUGAGACUCUAUAGUGAGUUUCCACUUGGAAAGCUGAUUGAACUUCAAAGGAGGCGGAGGCCCAACAUGCUUAAUAUGUAGAUGAGGGAUAGGUUGUCUUGAGUAGUGAGGCUCAACAACAUUUUGGAUGGGGGUGACGAAUAGCUUAUGUGCAACUGGAGUUUCUCCCACAUCAUCCGUAUCAUGAACUAUAUUUGGAGAAGAUGAAGAUGAUGUGGAUGUGCAGACUUUACAACGAGCAUCAACCUCUUCGUUUAUGGUGGUGUGCAUUUGAUCCAACAAUGAAAUUUUGAUACCUGCAGCAGCCAAGGUUGCACUACGAGGGGGAGGAGUAGAGUUUACGAUGAUGGGAAGAUGAGGAGGGGAAUUUGAGUCCCCCACUAUAUCAAAUAUAUUCAUUAGGUGGUUAAUCCAUAAUAAAUAUCUAAGCUUUGAUACCAGUUAAAGGAUGGAGAUGUCUACCAGCUAGAGGAGGUGAACCGGAGACUACAUAUUUUACCUUAACCACCAUUUGCAAGGGAAAUGCAGAUACGUUAAAAUAUGUAGAUAUGCAACCUAUGGUGGGAACAACCUAUACGGCAAAGAAAACUAACACACUAGGGAAGAGGUAGUAACUAUAUAGCUAGCAAGCAAAGACAAGUAAUGGUAAAAAAAGAUUAACCGGUACUUGUCUUGAAGCUCAAUCUUUGGGGAGUGCUAAUCUCCCUCCGAGAGGUGCCAAAGCCAAAUCUCGAGAGCGCCACCAAAUGGUCAACCUAGUCUCCUUUUGAGUCACCACCAAUGGAAGAUCCUCACUUCACUUAUGGUUGGUCUCGAAGGCAACCACCAGGCCUUUUCAAACUUUCUUGGAGCACACCACACACAAGGAAGCUUCCGAGCAUUGACUCAAACCACCCUGGAUUUUCGAUUCUCCAACAAUAAUAGGUUUAGUGAUGCACAAGUGGGUAUCAAGAAUUGGUUUGGUGGAAAUGUAGAUCACACGACUUUCUUCCAAUCCUUAAAGUUUGGUGAAGUUUGAGUGGAAGGACUGACAGUAAGCAAUCCUUUUAAGACCAGCAAUGGAGGGGGAGGUCAAAAUCAAGGGUUAGGUUUAGAGGUUGAAGAAGGGUGGGUAUUUAUACCCCCUAAAAGUGUUUGUUGCCAACCUGAGGGCCCCAUGCGCAUGGUCUUAAGAUCCCAAGCGCACGAUGUCACCCCAGAGUAAAACCCUAGACCUCCUCCUUCGUGCGCAACAGGCUCGUGCGAAUCGGGUGUCCAUAGAGUUAUGGACCCGACCUCAUGUGCACAGGGUUAGCAGGCCCUUGGACAUGGUGUCCAAAGAGUUUCCCCUGGAACCCAUGUUCACGGGGUAUUGACCAGAUGUCUCAAAGGGGAGGGUUAACCCAUUUUCAAUGAUAGGAUUGGGAUGGCUUGUUGUAUAUGUUUUGCAUGCCGAGCAUAGUUAGGCAAUCACCUCAACCCCUCUUAAUUGUGUAGUUGUUCUACAACCCAAAACAAACCAAAACUAAACCUUUGAGUCUUCAAAAAAUCGAUGCCACUUCCCUUUUUGAAGUGGGGGUCAACAAACAAAAUACAUUCUAGGCACGACAUCAAUGUCCCGAGAUAAACAUAGAAACCAACAUUAGUCUCACUAACCCCAUUGUCAUCAACACCAAAAUCUCAAUAGAACUAAAUGCACUUUGACCUACCAAACAUGAUAAAGGAUUAUCUUGAUAUAUACUUCAGGGUUUAGCCAGAAAGGUUGCCUUUUCUUACUACCCAUACGUCUCCAUAUAUCGCUAUCAAAUUCCAAUUGAAUUUAGCUAUUCCAUAAAAAUAGUAACACCUACAGAAUAUCUGCCAAUUUCAAUGUGUACAUCUUCUAAAAUAUAAAUGUUUAGGAAAAUGAGAAUAGAUCCGGAUUCCCCCUCCCCUAGGAGGGGACUAAUGCCAACUAAAAUUUAUGCCCCCACACCAGGUAUGUAAGACAUUCUUAGUAAAUUUUGAUUUUAAUGGUUUCUUUAAGAUCAAUAUAGUUAAAUUUUUCCUUAUAUUAGCAAUUAUGUGACCAAUCGUUUUAGCAUGUUUUCCCAUAGCAUUAACAUUCUAGAAACCCCCCUUCAUCUCCAAACAAAUGAAUUGUAUCAUGGAUUUGUUUUCCUUGUGUCACUAUUGUCAACGGGACCUCGUGAGCUAAGAUCACUAUUUUUUUGUUAAGGAUUUCUUGCUGGAAUACAUCUUUCCUAACUGGUUCCAAUUUACUAACUAUUUCUCGCUCAUGCUCAACCAUAUCAAUAGAAAAACUAAAUCAAUUGCAACCAAAGAAGUUAAGUGCAUUACAAAAUCACUAUUGCAAGCAAAGUUUGAAAUUUUACCAUAAUUGUCCUUAGCAGCAACACUUUCUUUUGCGAGAUCCCCCACCCUCGUGUAUCCUUGUAUUUUAGUCUCUUGCAUCUCCUAGGAACACCUUCAACAACAUUGUUCUCCCCCUGAAUCAUAACCUCUUUACCCUGAAUUCUUCUCAUCCUAGUCCCAAAAAGAUUGAGUGGAUUUGUAGCUGCCAUUAUACUCAACCGAUUCCAAAGCAUUAUCAUCUCCUUCCUCAAUCCUUUCUCGGGCAACAUUCAUGCCACCAACCUCCUCGUUUACACCCUGCAAAGGAUAGUUCUCAUUCACAUCUUGUUGCAUUAUUUCAUUCUCUUCCACCCGUCUUUGGAUAGAUUAUGCAAAGUUUGUUAAACUAAAUUAUGUACCAUGUGCACCUCCAUUUCCAAUCUUUUCUUUUCAAUAUGUAAUUCUUGAACUUUCCUCUCUUGCAGCGCUCUCACUGCAUUGUAUAUUGUCCUCUCUUCUCUUGCGAGUUCAAAAUUUUUAAUGACAAUCUUCAUAUCAGCCUUUACCUUGUUUCUAUCCCCAGUCAAGUCUACUAGUUCAUUUCUCUGCCACGCAACCAACAUUAGGUCAACUCAUAGUGAUGGUUUACCAAAAAGAACUAGAGGCAUAUUUGGAAGCUAAAUUUUGUUGAGCGGUGUUUAGACAUAUGAGAUGGUUCGUAGCACCGAAUUUCCUCUAUCGGUUACAAGAUGGUUCUAGACUCGCUUUUCCUAUGCUUAGAUUUGCUAAAAACAUCGUUCGACUUAACAUCCUCGUGCAGUUUGAAUAAAUACGACACAUCAUGUCAAUCUUAGAUAUCGAGGAGAGGUGAGCCAAAUACGACACAUUACACCAAAAUCCACAUAAUGUAACUUUUUCUGUGCUAUCUUGGUUCAAACCCCUAGCGCAACCAAAUCAUUUCUAUAAGACUAAGGCAUGAUGAACUUUUGUUUAAAGAAAAAAUCGUAACCCUUUUUAAAAUUGUAAAACCUGUUAGUAUUUCCUGAGAUCCAAAACAAAUAUCAUAGUUUUAAAUUAAGAAUAGCUCAACCUUAUUUUAAAAUCUGUUAUUAUGGAUCAGAGGGAGUACUAUUCAAUUGGAUACAGCGAGAGAGGCCGAUGGAGAAAGAGCAGUAUGUAGUUGUAGUGAAACAAAAGACUAAGCUAAUAAAUUCAGAAUAAUGCAAGCACCGAUGUUAAGUUUGGGACUUAAACUCUGAUGGAUAUGGAAUAACACAGUCCUUCUAACCAUCUAACCAUGGAUCGGUUUGCAACUUCUUUUAUUUUGAAGCUUAGGGACAAGUGAGUUAACGCGUGAGCUAGAGUCUCCGGAAAAUGGAGCUCGGCCGUGUAUUAUAAUAUAAUUAAGCCAAAGCAUGGGCACACGAGCUAGAGUGCUGUAGUAUGUGAGUAAAUGGAUAUAUGCCAAAAGUCCGUCCUUUGAGCAAAGUUGCUUUGCUCCACUCCGUCCAAAAGUCGAGAGACAGAUCACGUCUGGCCUGGCCGUCGUAUGGUCCACCUCGCGAAAGCCCUUUUUCCGCUACCGAAAGGUGGCGCGUCGCAGUUGCGGCAGGGCCCGCGUGCUCGCGAAAAGACGUUCUUUUUCCCGGUGGUGAUCCCUUUUUACGAGCUCUGUGCAUCUGAUCUGAUAUGAUCUGAUGCCGUUAGUGUAAAUUUUAGCCGGNNNNNNNNNNNNNNNNNNNNNNNNNNNNNNNNNNNNNNNNNNNNNNNNNNNNNNNNNNNNNNNNNNNNNNNNNNNNNNNNNNNNNNNNNNNNNNNNNNNNNNNNNNNNNNNNNNNNNNNNNNNNNNNNNNNNNNNNNNNNNNNNNNNNNNNNNNNNNNNNNNNNNNNNNNNNNNNNNNNNNNNNNNNNNNNNNNNNNNNNNNNNNNNNNNNNNNNNNNNNNNNNNNNNNNNNNNNNNNNNNNNNNNNNNNNNNNNNNNNNNNNNNNNNNNNNNNNNNNNNNNNNNNNNNNNCCGGCUAAAAUUUACACUGACAGCAUCAGAACGCGACGGAAUACCCGGCUGGGGCUGGGGCUGGGAGCUGGGUCACCGAACGCGCGCAGUCCGGCGAGAAGGAUGGGACAAGAGAGAAGCUGCGUGAUAGGAAGAGCGGAGCAAAAGGUCCAGGACAGACAGACAGACAGACAGACACGAGCCCAUGGACAUGUCGUGGACUCGUGAUCCUGCAGCCUGGUGUUGUGCCUCACGCGUGAUCCGAGGAAAGAGAACAAGGGAGGUCCGGGAUCUCCUAUGUGGCGCUUCAGGCGCCACUACGGGAACGGGCGCCUGCAGUGCCCCUCUUCCUGGGUCGGCCCAUCUAAAAUGCUUUGGUUAUUUGUUUUGUUAGAAAACAUCACAGAAUUUUUUAAAUGUUUAGAUUUACGUAAAAAAUUAUGAUUAGGAAAAAAGGUUCACUGAUUUUUUGAAAUAUGUUCAUGAAUUUUUAAAAAGUUCACAGAAUUUUAAAAAAUUAUCAUUGAUUUUGAAAGAAAAUUCAUCAAUUUUUAAAAAAUAGUUCACCAAGUUUGAAAAAUGUUCAUGAAUAUUAAAGCAUGUUCAUAGAUUUUCAAAAAAGUUCACACAUUUCACAAAAAAUGUUCAUCUAUUUUCAAAAAAGUUUACAAAUUUUAAAAAAGUUCACGGGGUAAAACAGAUCACGGACUAAAAAAAUUCAUAAAGAAUUUCUAGAUAGGUCCGGCCCAUUGUGGAGCGCUGUAGGCGCCGAUUAGCACUUUUUGCCUGUAAAACGGCGCCUGUGGCGCUAAAUAGGGUUUGUCAGGAGGUCUUAUUGGACAAACACAUAGGAGUUGAGAGCGAGCGACGGGAUUUGGACCGGCACUUUCAUCGAUCCCGGUUUUAAGAACCUGCUCCAGGUAUUCAGUUUUUAUUUUCGGUGUUCGGAACUUUCUAAAAGAUUUCCUGAAUUGGUUUUCUUCUUUUUGUUUUUUCUCCUUUAUUCUUUUUUUUCUGUUCUGUUUCAAAAAUGAUUUGGAUUUUCAAAGAAUGUUUCGGAAUUUGAUAAAAUCUUCCGGAAUGUUUAUCAAAAAGUUUUGGAUUUUGCGAUUUUUUUUUUACAAAAUUUUAAAAAAUAGUCCUGAAUUUUUGAAUUAUUUUGGAAUUUGAUGAAAUGUUGCAUAAGUUGAAAGAAUGUUUAGGAAUUGUAAAAUUAUUCCGGAAUUUAAAGAAAAAUAGGAAAAUAAAUAUUAGAUUCUUUUCAAACAAACAAAUAAGCUUGGCCAGCCCAGUUGGUGCGAGCCGAAGAUGGGCUGGCCCAGUUGGGGCGAGCCGAAGAUGGGCUGGCCCAGUUGGGGCGAGCCGAAGAUUGGCUACCCUUCUGCGUCCGACUGACCAAUGCACGGCACAUAGCAUCUUCCGUCCUAUUGGACGCUUUUUAUUUCCAGCAGCGCGCGGACGCACACAGGAAUCGUCACUAAGCCGGCCCACUAACAGAAAACAACGGAUAAAAUCCGAAACAUUUAGAUAAAAAUUGUAGAAUAUUUUUUCAAAUUUUGGGACAUUUUUGUGAAAAAAUACGAAAUAUUUGGAUGAAAAUUCUGGAACAUUUUUCUCAAAAACAGGAAGAAUUUUUCCAAAAUUGCGGAACAUUUUUUCAAAUUCCAUAACAUUUUUUCCAAACUCUGAAACAUUUUUUAAAAUUCGCUAACAUUUAGCACAUUCCAGAAUUGUUUUUUGAAAAUCUAGAACAAUUUUUCAACUUCAGUAACAUUAUUUUUUCAAUAUUCAGAACAUCUUUUCAAUUCCGAAAUAUUUUUUGAAAUUAUCGAAUAGUUUUCCAAAAUCCAUUUUUUAAAUCAAGAACAUUUUUUGAAAAUCUAAAACAUUUUACAAAAUCCGGAACAUUUUUAGGAAAAAUAAUAAUAACUUUUUAAAAAGCAAGAACAUUUUUCGAUUUUGAAGAACAUUUUUUGAAAAUCUAGAACAUUUAAAAAAAACAUAAAGGAAAAAAUGAAAUAAAACAGUUCAGGGAACUUUCUAGAAAUUUGCCAAAACCAGAAAAAACCGGUUUGAACCUUUAAAAGGUUCCCAAAACAGGAACGCUUAAGAAGUUAUAUGGGCCGGCACGUUGUGUCGCUGCUCGGUCGCUCGCGUGUUCGAAGCACCGACUGCUUGACGCAACGAGUGGCAAAUAGGAUAUUCCAGAGAACAAGCUAGCCAGCGUACUGGCACGGGGAAUCUGGGUUUGAUUUGUUUUCAUUUCAAUUGAGUCUAGCUAGGAGUACUAUAGUAUGUUGUAAGUUGUCUGGAUUUGAAGCUGGGUUAGUAAAUCUUUGUGUCCGUUGAUUGCUGCUCCAAAAUUCAUGUUUUUUAAUUUUUUUAGAAACAAGCAAAUCUAUGUUCUUUUUUGCGUGCUACCUUGUUUUAGAAUACAAUGAAGGGUGCAAUCUUAAUCAAUAAUGCAUUAUCCAUCUUUCUUUCAUACCAGUACUGAUCCGGAUUGGGGUUGAACACCUCGGAAAAAUUAGGAUUGCAGGCAAAAUUGAAGAUAAAUUUGCUGGAGAAAUCCAAUAAAUAAGAUUAAAUAAAAGAAGGACCCAAUAAAGAUGGGAUGCUAUAAAAGGAUUGGGGAUGAACACAUCGGGAAAAUCAGGAUUAUAGACAAAAUUGAAAAUAAAAUUUCUAGAGAAAUCCAAUAAAUAAGACAAAAUAAAAGAAGGACCCAAUAAAGAUGGAAUGCUAUAAAAGAGUGCAAUCACAAUAAUGCAUUAUCCAUCUUUCUUUCAUACCGGUACUGAUCCCGAUUGAAGAUGAACACCUCAGGAAAAUUAGGAUUGCAGACAAAACUGAAAACAAAUUUGCUAGAGAAAUCCAAUAAAUAACAUGAAAUAAAAGAAGGACCCAAUAAAGAUGGGAUGCUAUAAAAGAAAUAAAAGAGAAAAUGCAGAGGAGAUCCGAUAAAGAUGAGAUGUUGCGCUAUUUCUCCUAUAUAUAAGAACAAAAAAGAGAGGACACACAUGAGAAAAAGUAAAAAGGAGGCAUGCAUGAUAGAAAAUAAAAUAAAAGACAUGUUUGAUAAGAUAUAAAUAGUGAUGAAACAGGGACCAAUACCUAUGACAUGCAUGAGAAGAAAUAGUGGCGCAAGUACGUGCGUGCACAUGAGACCAUACAAAAAAUUUCUUUUCCAAACAAAAACAAUUCUCUUUAUGAUUAAAAGAUCAUGUAUGUUUUUGAGAACCCUUCAUGUAUUUAAGAAAUAUGAAUGUGAAAAAUGUGUUCAAGAGUUACAACAAAAAUAUUUGCACAUACAAAAUAAAUAUAAGCGUAGUUUUCAAAAUAGAUGUAAUUAGAGGUGUAGACCAUAUCAAAUGUAGCACUCUAUUGCGAUACUUGGGCUUGAGGACAAAAAAAUGCGACACCAACAUCUUCUUUCAGACAGAUUGCAAACAACAAGCCAAGAGACUCUGCAGCGAAGUGGUGAAUAAAUUAUCAUAAAGAAGACGUUGGUGAACCAAACUAGGUGAGCAUAGAGGAGUUCCAGAGUGAAGGGAGGACGAGCUGACGACGGUGGCGCUAGAAUGAGCUUGAGGUCAGGGAUCGGAGCCAGGAGCUGGAAUUAUGUUCAACAUGCCCUAAGUUGGUGAUGUUUAAACUGGAAACCAAUAUUGAUACACACAUGUUUACAUAGUGUGCUAAUGUGCCAUCGUCUGUUUUUGUCAUUUUCCUUUACCGUCCCUUAGCAACAACCCAUUUUACACAUGACAUGAAUAAAUACAUGAUCACUUACCUGUUUCUUUGUAUGUAUUAAAUCUACAUGCAAGCCGUGUUGAAAUAAAAGACAUGUGGAAUCUUGAACUAGGCUUUUGUAGGCUAACACCAUCUUUGUUUGGGCUGUAGCUAUAAAUUCUCAGAUUAUAAACCUUUUUUUUAAAUAAGAGUGUGUGGUAAUCUUUUCUCCCGUUGCAAAGUACGAGCCCUUUUGCUAGUAAAAAAAGAAAAUUGGCCAUCCCCAGAAUGGCGGGGGGGGGGGGGNNNNNNNNNNNNNNNNNNNNNNNNNNNNNNNNNNNNNNNNNNNNNNNNNNNNNNNNNNNNNNNNNNNNNNNNNNNNNNNNNNNNNNNNNNNNNNNNNNNNNNNNNNNNNNNNNNNNNNNNNNNNNNNNNNNNNNNNNNNNNNNNNNNNNNNNNNNNNNNNNNNNNNNNNNNNNNNNNNNNNNNNNNNNNNNNNNNNNNNNNNNNNNNNNNNNNNNNNNNNNNNNNNNNNNNNNNNNNNNNNNNNNNNNNNNNNNNNNGGGGGGGGGGGGGGGGGUGCGUCAAAUUGGAAAAUAGACUAUAUCAGACGCUGGAGGCACCAAAUAAAAAUCACCCUUGUUUUGGGAUGAAUAUUUUUGUCUGAUAGUUGUUUUGAGUAAAUCAUUUACAUUAAAGUAAAAUACACCAGAGUUCCUAAAGUAUUACAAGUAUGUAAAUUAGGUCCUAAAAGUUUGAAAUUGUUCAUUACUGGUUCUAUAUGUGUAUUAUACCCAUAAUUUUUAACAACUACUUGACACACUUGGAAUACUUUUAGGACCAUCGGUGAAUGACUUACACACAUCUAGGACCCCCGAUGAAUGAUUUCAAACUUGUAUGACCUACUUGUUGACACACUUCGAAUACUUUUAGGACCUUCAAUGUAUUUUACUCUUACAUUAAUGGGCUCGAGAUAAAUUCACCAACGGUUACCAACUCGUCCGCCAAAUUCACUUUGGUGAUUGAACUCAAGAAUACACAUAUUACGGUCACGGAACUUACAUCAACAAGCAGAGACAGUCACCGCAUACUCUUGGACUACAUAUUAAGGUGAUGUGGCAUACACUUUGACCUAUUGAUUAGACAACAUGACAAAAGCGGGGAUUUUUUCACAAAAUUUCAAGUGGACAUCAGUUAGACUUUGUCAUCAAACACCGUGAAAAAUGUUCGUGUCUCGUCGAUUUCUUCAAGCGUGAACGCAUGAUGGACAACACUGGAGGGGACAAAGUGAUUUACCCCAAGAGGAGUUCCUAGAUCACGCCCCCGUGUGAAUCUUUGAGCCAUACAUUUGCGGAAGUUCCUCGCACGAUGCAUUGGUACCCUCCCCCUUCGGGAAUCUCUUGGAUCCCCCUGACGGCAAGGUCCAAGAGUUAGAUUUGGGUGGCAUUGAGGAACAAAUAUAUUAGUAUGACACCAGCAACGAGCCCAAGCAAAGCACCAACGAUAUGCGGGCGACGAGCAGCAGGAGUACCCUCUGGUGGUGGGUUGGGGAAGUGGUUCAUUGUAGUGCCCCAAGUGUNCGCACCUAAGUGGGCUUAGUCCCACUUAGCGGCCCACUUCCCCUCUCUCUCGCGCAGGAGCCGCGCAACGUUCCUCGUCUUCCUCCUUUCCAGCUCGGCACCAGGGCCCCCCCUGUCAGCCUCUCACCUCGCUCCUCUCUGCUUUCCACCAAAGCUCCCCGCACGCACAUGGCCGUGCCGCGUUCCUCACCUCUCCUUCCCUCUAUUUGAUCCCUCCUUGGCGUCCGUGCCAAGGCUAGGGUUCCUCUUCCCCGCCGCCACUUCCUCCCAUCUCCCUCUCUUCUCUAUUGACGGCCUCAGGUAAGAGGAGGGCGAGUCCGCCAUGGCCGGAUCGUGAAGGUGCUCGCCGCCGUUGCUGCUACGCCACUUCUUCCUCUCCAAGGCGACGGCGCGCUCGCGGGAACUCGUGGGGAUCCAUUCCCGCAGCUAGAUCGCGGCGUCCACCUCUUCUUCCCCUACUUCAUCGUUGUCUCCUUCCGCUCCAGCAAGCUCCUCCGACGCGGGUCCUUCCUCGCCGUCCUCUGCUUCCUCUCCUGUCGGCUCGCGUCCUUCGGCUGUGGGGUGAGAAGAUCAUCCUUCCCCCUCCCCUGUCUUCGAUCUGGCAUAGGGAUCGCGUAGUUGGACGCCGAGACACUCCCUGUCGUCGGCGCCGCCGCGCACCGUAGAUAGGUCGCCAUGGUGCUUCUCGAGCAGGCUUAGCAUAGGAAAUGGAACCGUGGGUGCCUCUUCAUCCUUCCAUCCAUGAGCCAUUGCUCGAUUUACACCAUGUCGCCGGCGAGGGCCUUCCCCUGUUUCGGUCGGCCGCCGGCAGUAGAUCAGAAGAGGAGACCUCUUCAGUUCGUUUGCUGCGCAUGUUAUAUCAGACACCGUAGCGUAGCCCAGUGGUUUGUGUCCUGUUGUGCCUGAUGCAGGUGCUGGGUUCGAUCCCCCCACGGCACCUUUUUGUUUCCUUGAUUUCUCGGCACAGUAAACUGCAGGGAUUGCCUUACCUUGCCUGAACUCUCUGUUCUGUCGAUAGUUGACAGUAGCAGAGUGGUAGGGGGUAGUUUGUGGCAUCAGAGGGUACUGGGUUCGAAUCCCAGGAAGCCCCCCUUUUUGUUUUUCUCUUUGCUGCAAUUUUAUUUCAUCUUUGCUAUUGUUGUUCCUAUUACAAUCAUAGGUGUCCAUAGCAUCUUGUUUCU
This 70530-nucleotide long non-coding RNA is filed under the name Hordeum vulgare. Its description in RNAcentral is "long non-coding RNA (HVUL_LNC011099)". The record is from RNAcentral. Lineage: Eukaryota; Viridiplantae; Streptophyta; Magnoliopsida; Poales; Poaceae.